GCAUUUUGCCUCCUGCAAGCAUCAUCAACAGUUACUGGAGGAACGUAAUUCCAGAAAGCUUGAAAGCCGUGGUGAUGGUAAUUAUGUAUCAAAUGCCUGGUUCUAUUUCUGUUAUUAUUGUUUUGUCAUUUCUGUUUUCCCAGCGAUCUGACUGAACUCGCAGAGGGACAAAUCCAGUUUUUCUUUUUGACUUUUGUCAAACUAAAUCAGGCCUGAUAGAAAACUCAUUGCUCUCCGGGGAAACAAAGUAGGAGCCACGAAAUGUCAUUUUAACAGAGCGUGGGUUUGGUGACUGUAGGAAAGGAUUUGAGGACGCUCCUUCUGUUCGGCUUCCUAUGUCAUGAGCACAGGCUCCACGCACGCACAGACACCACGGCUCCCGGAUGCUGUGGCUCCCCGAUCGGGGCUCCUGCAGCGCCAGAAGCCCCUCCGGGAUGCUUCGAGGGGCUCCCGGUGGGUGGAGGUACGGACGCCGCUGCGGCCGCCGCCGCCAGUCCUGCUGCUGUUGUUGCUGCUGCAGUCACGUGGGAGCCCCUUUAAGUUUCCAUAGAGAGGCCUCUCUGGUGUCACAUGAUGGACAUGAUAUAAUGAAACAACAUUGUGGAGAGGAAAGCAUUAGGGGAGCCCACGGCUACAAAAACAAGUGAGUGAGAAGAGGUGGGAGGAAGAGAAACUACGCCACCUCCCCUGCAGCCGAGUGCACGCAGCAGCCUGGCGUGACAAGUGGGCGACGCCGGGGGGCAGGGAGCCGGGGUCCUUGGCCCUGGCCGGGGACCCCACCGCCCACCGCGCGGAGGACAACUUUUAGCCGGCAGCCCAGACCAGCGCGGCACCUGUCUCCGGAGUCUCCACCGCUCCUCCCGAUUCAUCCCAGGGAAAUUCUCAAGAAUACGCUCUACAAAUCUACGUGCGCAUCAUUUUCACCUCGCGUCGCGCCCGGGAGGAAGGAACGAGGCAAGGAGCUAAAGCAGCGUGCGUUCAGCCCUGGGAAGAAAAUACCAAUGAAUCAAUAUUAGGAGACAGAAGCUGUUAAGAAAACUCAGUACGGCCAGGCAUUUUAUUAAUGCUUUUACGAGUUAGAAGAGUUGGGAUAAUUUGCCAUCUGGAGUUUCUCUGCCUUGCUGAUCUGAGCUCAGACCUGCCAAUUUACCAGAGAUAAUUGAUAACACCCUGUAACAGCUGAGAGGAAAAUGGAAGAAACGGAGAUACUUUUAGUGAAGCAGAAUAAACCACUGAACAGGAAAAAUGAGGAAGCUGUGAGUACCAGUGGAAGGAACGAGCCAGGAAGAGGGACUGGAACCAUCUCAGAAGCCAUGCCCCUCAGGCUGGAACUUGCCCUGUCUCCUCGCAGAUGAGGUAGGAGGCUCAGCACGGGCUGGUGGGAGCAGCCCACAGCAGCAGUGAGGGUCAGUGGGCCUGUGAGUUAAGAAGAAGGUGGCACAGAGCGAGGGUCUCUGGAUCCUGACUGUUUGACUUUUCCAUGAUUAGGAUAAGUAGCCAGGGCUUGGCUAGUUGGAGAGUUACUCGAACCUCAGGUGACAGUUGUAAGGCAGCACAUAGUGAAAAAGAGUCCUAGCCUGGGAAAGUCCAAAACCUUAGGUCUGGUUUCAGUUCACUCACCUAUCUCUGUGACAUAGCAAAGUCUGUUAAUUUCUCUAAUUUUCUGAUUAGUAGUAUAGUUGCAGGAAUGAAAUAAAAAUGGUCCUGAUUACUCAGAGAUUCAUUUACUGAUUACUCUUUUUGUGACCUGAAUAAAGAGUACAACAUCUCUCAAAAGGUAACAAUAUGAUGUUUCAGGAAAUUAGAGAAGUUAAGAGACUUUGCUGUAUUUACUAUACAGAUAGUUGACUGACAGCUGAGCCCGGACCCAAGAUUCAUUUAUAAAAUGAAGGAGUUGAGAAGUACAUACUCUGAGGUUUAUCCUAAAUAAACUGAAGUCUAGGCAAGUGGCUGAGCUAGGUUUGCCAUGAAUCAAUCUGCUGAGUAUAUUUCUUGGUAACUAGUUCAUCUUUCCUUAAUUCAGUCAACAAAUAUGAUAUCAAGUUUAGUAAGAUGAUGACAGUUGUCAUGUAAUACUCCAUCUGGAAGAUUGUAUGCUUCUCAGCUUCCCUAACUUUUCUUAAUCUACCUUAAGCUUCCUUUCUGAAAGGUUUCUGUCUUUCCUAACAGUCUCUUCUUUCCGCCAGCUACCUCUUGUGUUUAAGAAUUAAAGGAAGAUGAGCUAGGAAUCAAGAAAUACGCAGAACUGAUUCCUGUCACUGGCGCCACCCUGCCACUUGCCCAGAGCUGUGGUAUAAAUUUUUUUAAUAGGCUGAAAUAAAAAUAUGAAUAGCAUUUUGGUAUUAAGCAUUAAAUUGAUAAAGGCUAUGAGAUACACCUGCUCUCAACCAUGUUAAUUUUUUAUUAUUGGUAUUAAUAAAUUAUUACUUACUAACAUAUUAACAAGAAUUGCAUUGAGAAACAAAGCAUCCACAGGCCAAAUCUUCUGAAUUUCAAAUGUUUAUAUUAAUGCGUUGUAUUCUAGAAAAGUAGAAUUGUCUUAAGUAGCUUUGUAAUAUAAAGUCAUCUAUCAGCCCAUUACACCUAUUAGAAUGUUUUAACCUUUAUUUCCCACUUUUUUGUUUCUAGACUGAGUGUACUUGGUCUGGUAUUUGUGGCAUAACUUACGGAACACAUAAGAAUGAUACAGAUACUAUUUAAUGAUGACCUAAUACAAGCUUAGAUAGCUAAGGUGAAAGCUUCUAUGGCCUUAACAUUUUCCUCUUGAAGAAUGUAUUUUCUGUAAUAAAAUACAGUGGCUACUUGAAAUCUAUAAACUUAUGUGAGGUCUGGAUAAAUCUGAGCAACUUUCUUCUUUGUGCUCCAGGAACCUACGCACUAUAUAUAUAAAUAAAGCUUAAGUAAACAUCACUGCAAUCUGUGUUUUGUUUGAUUAUAUUACGUAUUGCCUGAUCUUUAAAUAAUGAUGAAAAAUAGCCUUUAACAUAAACCAUGAAUGGAUAUGCACUUGAGGGAAACAGUUUCUUGGAUAAUUAAACUUUAAUUUCUCACCGUGGAUUCCUUGGAUCUUGUAAUAUUUUUUAAAACAGUCCUGGGGAUUUAUUUUUAAGGCGUCCAAAUGAAUUAUUAGUUCUCAAAAGCCAUAGUAUAUUCAUGGGUCGAUAUAUCCUCAAAACACUAUUUUUAAACUGCUUAGUUUAUUUUUCUUAGCGUGCUCAUCUGCUGCAUAAUUUUCUUUGCUAUGUAUGGGUCACAUGCUUCCUCCCGUCCAUAACUCACGCACUUAAAAUUCUCACUUCCUGAUUGAGCCAUCAGAUUACGUAAAAUGUAAAUCAGCCUGAAUACCUAGGAGCAGGAAUUUUAAGGGAGAAAAUGCCGUUUUCUUUUUCUGUGUCAUUAUUAACCCUUAAAUAUCAGAGUGAGUGUCUGCUCACCUAUUUGUAUUUGGAAACGAGAUACUGUUAGGGGUUUUUCUUGGCCCUUCCCUUUCAGAUUGAAUCAGACUUUGCUGCUUUCCUUAUACAAAAUAAUGUACCAACUAGAUAGACGGUGGGAGUGGUAUCGUUGCAGGAAUGAAACCAAAAGGGUUCCGAUGAUUGAGAGAGAUUCAUUUAUUUUUUAACUCUUCUCAUGAUCUGAAUGAAGAGUACAGCAUCUAUCAAAAGGUAACAACCUAAUAUUUCAGAAUUGCAAGUGGCCAUUUAGCCUUUCUGCUGCCUGAUAUAAAUGAAAGUAAUUCCUAGCAGGCAGGAUGACACUUGUUUUAUCACGAAUCUGACAAUCCAGCACAUUUUCUCAAGCAAUUUUGAAGUUGUCGUAGUAACAGCAUGGCAUUUGGAGGGUCUUUUUAGUAGUUCUUUAGCUAGAGUUAAUUAAUUGUAUUAACUCUGGAUGUUUUUCUUUUUACUCCUCUUUGACAAACAAGGGCUAUAAUUGCUCAAAUAUGUAUUUUGUGUUCUAUAUUUUUUGGUGACUAUAGUUUAAGGACGUGAUGUUUUUAAGUGGUUUCAGUAAAAGGUUAUCAGUUGAUUUCAGACACAUUAAACUUGGGUUUUUAAUUUCUCUGUAAAAUUCCACUAUCAUUGUAGGACCAGGAUUUAGUUUUAUUUAAGAAGUGAAUCUGGGGAGAUAUUUGCACAAAUUGAAUUGUGGCUUGCUUCCAGUGGUUGCAACUAUCCGUUGCUUUGAUUUUGGUGUAUUUAGAAAAAGAACUGGGGAAUGCAGAAAGGGAAAUGUGUCAGGCUUACAGGAGAAAAUUGUUUCUUUAGAAAUGCAACAGGCAGGCACACCACCAAAAGCAUGUUCCAUAAAAGAAAACAAAUAAAUUUGAUUUUGUGAAACUUAAGAAUGCAGUGCUCUUUGAAACUCUAAAAUAUACUUAAAUAAAUUCUCCCCUAGGAAGAUUUGUGGGAACUUUUUAUUGGUGGAAAGUAGGUUGGAACUUCUAGUAUUAAUAGUAAAACUCUGUGGCAGAAAUUCUUGCCAAUAUGGCGGUUGGUGAGAAAGGAAUCCCGUUUCUUGGGCAGGGAGAGGGUCAGAAGAAAGAAUUGUCUGUACUCAGUCUGGAUGCCGGGACUUAAAAAGUAUCAGAUAUACAAUGCUUUUGUUUUCUUGUAUAAGUGAACAGAGAGAUGUGACACUUCUAAAAGGUCUUGUGAGUUUUGUGGGUUUAAUGCUAAUGCCACUAUCCUUACUGUUCUGUGAGUAUUUGUUCAGCCACGGGUGAUUCAAGAGAGUUGGGGUAUCAGCAUGUGCAGCCAACAGCAGUCCAGGUGCUAAUGCACCACCGGUGAUGUCAGGAGUUACGAGACAGCGGUUUCCAAACACUGCAGUAAACAAGGUCAAAGUGUCCCGUUUCGCUGGAAGAAGUUUUGUUUUUAUGAGCUGGACAGUACAUGGAUGAAGUAAUUUUUCAAAACAAACUUUAAAUUUAUACAUGUGUUUUUUUUCUUCUUCUCUUUGGAUUAAAAUAAAUUGGCCCGUUGAGAUUAAAUAAUGGUUAUGUUUUUAAGCAGAAUUAUAUUUCAUAUGUUUUUCCAGUCUUUUAUUGAUUUUCUGUUUUUCACAGAAGAAAUGAAAAUAACUUCUGAUGUAGGGUUUCUUAAAUGCAGUUUGAGAGAGCAAGAUAGGAACCAGUACUUUCAAAAUAUGGCAAGUGCAAGUCACAAUCCCUAGUAAGAUAUUCCUUCUCAUUUUGUGCCUUUGACUCUUAUUUAGACAGACGUUUAAGUACGAGAAAGCUAAUGGCGCAGAUUCUGCUGACUGUGUGGCUCUCGUCUUAAUGCGUUUUCCAACCUUGAACCUGAGAAUGCCAGAGGAUUGAGUCUCUGGACGUUCAUCUGAGCAGAUAUCUGCUGGCCGCCUGGUUCCUGAGCUAACAAGUGGGUGUCCCGGGCUUGUGUGUGUAGUCACAACAGUGGAGGUGCCACGUGGCACCCAGAGGUCGACUGGGGCUACCGCGGGGCUUCCCGAUCCUCACAAGUGUGUCUUCAGUGUCUGACAUGAACUGGGAACUUGGGGCAUCUUUAGAAGCACAGACAUUUGGAGUUCCACGGCAAACCUGGAUGUAAGCACUCACACAGCUUUUAAAGUGAAAGCAGGGACCUUGAGGAAGGAAUCGCCGUCAUCUCAUUGCCGACCUGCUUACUGUGCUGGGAAACAAAGUAAGUUCUGUUUGUUUCUUUGUUAGUCUCUCCUGCGUGUUUUUUCUUGCUAAUGUUAUUAGACACUCAAUAUCCGGCAAAUGCCAAGUUUUUUCCCCUUCAUUGGGAAGUAGGAUAUAGUUUAUUCAAUAGCUGAUUGCUUCUUUUAUCUUUUCCCUCUUCCCAUAUCUAGUGUGCCGGCUUGCUGUUUAGAGAUAGGAAGAGAUUGAAAUUUAUUAUCAAGGAGAAAACAAAAAGUGUUUUGUUUUGUUUCUAAAUGGUCCAAGAACUUUGCCAUUAGGUAAAUGACUAUGACACAGACAAGGCGUUUUGCAUGGUAUGACCAGGAGCACCUCUAGCAAAACAGCCCCAGUUCGCCGCCCUGAUUUCCAUUUGGAAGCAGGCACAGUGGGUUUCCCCAGGACCGAUGUUAACGCAGAGGGUCCUUGUGCAGGAAUUGUGCAGAAACUAGGUGGGAAGGUGUCACAGACAAGAGGCUGCAAUUUAAAAACGCAUCAGGAAAUGGAAAAGAGCUGCGAGAAUAUCAAUUAUUUAAUGAUGUUGAUAAAAACAAAUUUAAUAUAAAAAUGAGAUACAAUGUAUAGAGACCUAACCCUGUCAACAGCAACUAAACUUUACUUUCAUGUUAGAAAGUUUUGUGCCAUGUAGAUUUAUGGAAAAUGUGCUUAAUUGCCUCUAGAAAAUAAUGAAGAGGCUUCGUCACCUCCAUAGAAGAUCCUGUGACACUAGCCUAAUUCUGACACAUGGCUCCUGUUUUCCAUUUUGUUUGUUUUUUUAUGCUGAUCCUCUCUCCAGAGAUGUGAUGUGGAUUGAUUAACUUGUAAUAUAAAGUUCUAUGGUUUCUGAAAAUGCAGAGCAAAUAGAGAUGAAGAGUGGUUUGUGAUUUGUUAUUAAAUGAUCUUCCCUUCUACAUUUAGGACUGAUUUUUACUGUAGAAUUUUUUUUUUUUUUUUUUUUUUUUUUUUUUGUCAACUUGAACAGCAAUACCUUGAAGGUAAAAGGUGGGAGCACGACUGGAGUGUGGAACUGGAAAGCAGAAACCAGGGGUGUUACUUCUAUGUCUAGUAUGGAAUGUUGUGAAUUUAAGUUAGAGCUUCUGUGUCCUGGGAAUUCAUAUUUUAUCUCAAAGUGGUGCUGAUAGGACUGGAGGUAGCUGUAUUUCAUUUGAAACAUUCCAGCCUCUUUAUAGGAAUAUCUGUGAAUUUUUAAUUCAGCAAACAUCUUUAAGUGUGUCAUUUAUGUAUAGCGUUGUAGUCAGAGCUGUAAUUGUUUCACCAUUAAAUUUACGGAAAUUCAGUUUGUAAGUGAAAAAUUAAGAACAGUUUGAAAGAAGGGCGAAUGAGCAGAGCAUUGCCAUCUAAACAGUCUUGUUAAAGAUAGUGCCAAGUGAGCAGGACUGUCCCUUCUAAGCUGCCCCUCCUAAUUAAAGGGAAAGGUGGCUGCCAUCUGUCUUCUUUCAUUCAAGGCAGUAGGGGGUCUAGGGUGGAAGGAAGCAACCCCCACUUUAUUUUUCUCCCACUCUUUUUUAUAGUCAGCUUUCUCCCUAGUCAGUGACCCAGAAGGUCAUUGAUGAUCUGUCUAUCUCAGAAUGAAUAGUAGCAUAAGCACGCUUGGCACUUGCAAAAAAAAGAAAGUUUAUAACAUGCACUGAUCCAUUUAAAGUUCUGCUUGAAUUAUGUCUGAGAGUAUUGUAAUCUCUGUAUUGGUGUCUCUGCCCUGUUUGUUACCAAGGGCACUACUGGCAGGAAAAGUGGGGAGUUUUACUUUUAUUGAUUUUGCUUUUUCAUGAAAAAAUGUUUACACUCCACUGGGCAUAAUCAGAAGAUGGCAGCACAUGGCUAUGUACAGGAGAUGUGGGGAUGUACAGGAAUAUUGUUCUUAUCAAAAUCAAGGACACCUAUUAAUGAUGAUACAUAUAUGUCAUCUCAGGGGAAAGCAUGAACAAGCAUGGCAACAGAUGUCCAAGUUACUCAGUGGCCUGCUGCAGCUUUUUGGACCAGUUAUUGAAAUAAUUCACAUUGUUUAGCUUUUGUUAAGCAAUAAGGCUUUUAGCCUUUUUCUUGUAAGAAUACGUUGCAGGAGAGUUUAGUUUGGGGUCAUGUCUUCAUUGCUUUGGAAAUGUAGAAUAGUCCUCCAACAAAAUGACUGCAUUUGCUUGCCUUCGUUUCCACCUCUGUAAAUAGAAGAAAUAUCUGCUGUUUUUAUAAAUAUAUAAGAGAAUAUGAAAUAUUUUCCAUCUUUCAUAAGAACUGUGUUAUAACUGAAAAAUUCUCAAAUCUUCAGUUAUGUUUAUUUUCAAUUUUUACACACUUAAGCAAGGUGUUAACAGUCUUCUAAAGAGAUUCAGUUGUUACAAGCCUUGUUUAGUUCCCAAGUAGCAGGUAUGGACUUCUCAGAACAUACUGGUUUUUAGAACUCUCUUUGUGACACAGAAGUGUGGUAUUUCUUAAACCCAUAACAAUAUAUUUGGAGAGCUCAAAUGUGAAAGUCAUGUCUGUAAUUUUAUUUAGAGCUUUUUUUUUUUUUUUUUUUUCCAAAUUUGUCACCAACUUGCAACGAGCUUUCUUGGAAACAUAGACGUGUUUAUGUUGUUGAGUCUUGAGAUGAACAUGUGUGGGCUUCUGACGACACUGAUGCCCAGUUUGUAUGAUUGGAUGAUACCUGAAAAGUGGGUCACUUCCUAGUCAGUGAAGGGUACACAGGGCUGAAUAGGCAGGGCUUUUUGGCUUUUUCCGUGCUUUUGUUUUUGUUUUUGGUGUGUGUGUGUACUAAUUUUAGAUACUCAGCUAGGUACUUGACUGGCUAUCCUUUUUAGCAUGUGAUUUAAUUUGGUUUUACCCAUCAGUAUUUAUUUCAAGGGGACUAAAUAAACACAUUAAAUGAAGCACUUAAGAACUUUCUAUCUUCUUUUGACUAUCCACAGCGGUGGGAAAUCUCUGUCCUUUGAGGGUAGGAGGGAGCCAAUAGUUAGGUCUCAUGAAUAUGGUAGGUGAUCAAACCACUGAUUCAAGUCAUUGUUUCAUGUUAUAAACAUGGACUGAGCCAGCUACUACAUUUCAGUAGAAGGUACUGUAGAUUCAAAAGUGAACAUGGGUCUGGCAUUUCAGAAAGACACAGGUUAGUGAGAUAAAUGACUAUAAAAAGAGGUAGCACUGUAGACUGAUGUCCUGUAACAGAGGUACACGUGUGCUGUUAGAGCCAAGAGGGGGUCAAAAUAAAAAGACAGGGCACGGUGGCUCAUACCUGUGAUCCCAGCACUUUAGGAGGCUGAGGUGGGAGGAUCACUUGAGGCCAGGAGUUCAAGACCAGCCUGGGCAACAUAGAUCCCCAUCUCUACAAAAAAAUAAAAUAAAAUAAAAAAAUAAGCCACACAUGGUGGCAUGCAUCUAUAGUCCUAGCUACUUGGGAGGCUGAGGCAGGAGGAUCCCUUGAGCCCUGGAGUUGAAGGCUAUAGUGAGCUAUGAUCACACCACUGCACUCUAGCCUGAGCGACAGAACAAGAUCCCAUCUCUGAAAAAAUGGAUGAGUGAAUUAAAUUUCAAAAUAGAGAUUUAAUGGAAAAAUGAGAAUUGUUGUGUACAUGAUUUAUGAAGUGGCUUACAUAAUAUAAUUUUGGACAUGAAAGCCCUGAAAAAUAGCUUCUUAUUUUAAGGAUGAACAGACUGGGAUUUAUUUCUGAAAUUCUAUAAUUCUCAGUCAGUUGUAAGGCUUUCAUUAUAUAAUAGACUUUUUUUUUUAACCAACGGAAGUUGGACCUCUUCAAAAUGUGAGAUCCAAAAAGGUUUUGGAUAUUGUUUGAAUAACUCUCUUCUCCAAAGGAGACUGUUUUUGAAAAAUGAUUCUUUCUGACAUGUUAAAAUUGAAUAUUUUUGACACGCCAAAUGCACCAAAGUAUUAUAUGUCAUGUUUAUUGCCGAGAGUAGCUAUAUAGCUUGUGGGAGACAGUUAACGUGAAGCUUUCUUGCAUCUGGAAGUAUGGGGAGAGAGAAGGCUUCUUCACACCCCCUUUCAUGUUAUAUUCUACAGGGAAAGAAUUUCUAUCAUGUAGACACUAGGUGACUCCCUUGUGGAUAAUUUCAUUUAACAAUGAUUUCUGGGUGUUGCUCUAUGCCAGGCACUGUUCUAGGAGCUGAUGCGAAGGCUCAGCUGAUGGGCUACAGACCUGAAGGCCUGUGCUCCUCAGUGGCACUCUGUAGGUAGAUACAGAGCCACCAUCUACUGGGUGCUUCUCCUGAGUGUGACAGUGUAGGCUGGGACACGAUGCUACCCUUCAAGGAGCUUGAAGCUAAGGUUCUGUGCACAGAUAAAAUUAGAAUAAAUGCAGAGAUGCUAUAACAAGAUGUCUUAGAAAAAAGAAAAACAAAGAAUAAAUGCAGAGAGAAAGAGAAAUGUAUAAAAGGUAGAGAGAUAAACAUACCACAAGUUCAUAGAAAAGAAAGGUUGUGUGUUUAUCUGUGGCUGGGAUGAUCAAGAAAUGCUUCAUGGAUAAAGAGCCUUUGAGCCAGACAUUGAAAGAAAGGUAAUGUUGGACUUGAGGUCUUGGAGUAUCCUCGUUGAAGGAAACAUGAGCAAAGGCAUAGGUAGGGAUGGGAAAUGCCGGGGUGCAGAGUGGGCAGGAAUCGAUUUGUAGUUGCUGGGCAAUGAUGUGUGUAAACCACUAAGGAGAAGAUCAGGUAGCAAAGGUCCUUGGAGGCCAGAACCCAGAGGGCCUUGAAUGGCACGUGACUAAAUGAUUUAAACUUAAGUUACUGGGGAGCAAUGGAAGAAUUUGAGUGGCUAGAGUCCCCAUCCUGAAGAGGCCUUGCGGGGAUCAGCAUGUGGGUGCCUCUGGACUGUGAAAUAGCCAGAGCUGGGAAGCCUUUUAGAGCUGCUGUUGUGGUCCAGGAGGGAGGUGGGGAGGGCCUGGGUGAGGGGAAGGCCACUAGAUGGAGAAAUUGAAUUUAUGAGAUGGGAUUUAGGAACUGCCUAGAUAAUAGGGGUUGGCCGAUGGGAAGCAAAAAUGCCCCCAGAGCUUUGAACCCAGGUGCCAUUCAUUAUUUCUAUGCCAUCUGCCAGGCAUUGCAUAGCUAUUAUCUCAUUUAAUCUCCUCCUAAUCUUGUGGGUUGGUAUUUUCAUCCUUAUAUCAGAGACGAGAAAACUAAGGGUCAGAGAAAAUUAGCAAUUGGUCUAAAAUUGUACAGUUGUAACAGGAUCUAGAACAGGGACUUCAGUACAGGCCUCCCUGACCCCCAAGCCUGUGUUCUUUCUACUGUACUAGGCUUGGAAGACAGCGUACGUGAGAGCAAAGACAAGCUCUGUCCACUCUGUGCAUAUUCAGUGUAGGUGCUGGUGAGAUUCCCGCCUUCAGGUGUCCAGCAAGUGGUUGGAGACAUGGAGCCGAAUCUCAAGGACAUUGGGAGGAUUGAAGGUCAAGGCUUAAGAACCAUCUGCAUCCUCAUUUAUUUAUUCAGCAGCUAUUUGUUGUGUCUUCGUGGACCAGCUUGGCAGCAUGAAUGCUGUGACCAACAAGAGAGGUGUGUCCUUCACGGAGCUGCCAGGCUGGGAGGGAGCCCUGAUGGCGUGGCUUGAGUGUAAGGCAGGAGGUGUGCAGAUUGGCUGUGGGAACUUACUGGCCUAACCUUGUCAGGUCAGGGAAGCUCUCUAGAGGCAGUUGUGGUUCUCAACAUGAGACUCAAAUGAUGAGGACCCAGUUAAAAAGUGGGAAAACAGCAUACCCCAGGCCGUGGAAGUAGCGCGUACUCAGGCAGAGCAAGAUAAGAACACAGUGUCUUUAAACCAAAAACCACGUGUGGCUGGAAUGGAGGGAAGAGCAAGGAGAUAAGACAGGUGAGCAGGAACCAGAACAAGAAAUGCCCUGGAAGCUGUGAGACGCUUGGAAUUCACCUGUGAAGAAAAGAGUAGCCUCAUCUGAAUUCCUUGCCUCGAUUAUGGUCUCCAAUAGAAGAUUAAAUGGCUGUGGAGUCUAGAGGUUUUUUCCUUCGGUGUGGGCAUCACCCCUUCUGAAAGGAUGGUGUAAUGGCUAAUUGUAUGUAUCAGCUUGGCGAGGCCACAGUACCCAGAUACUUGGUCAAGCACCAGUCUAGAUGUCGCUGUGCAGGUAGUUUUUUAGAUGAGGUUUAACAUUUAUAUCAGUAGAAGGAGUGAAGCAGAUUAUCCUUUGUAAUGUAUGUAGGCCUCAUAUAUCAUCAGUUGAAGGCCUUAAGAGAAAAAGAUUGAAGUCCCUAAAGAAGAAGGAACUCUGUCUCCAGUCUCCCUUCAGACUCAAGACUGCAACAUCGGCCUGGCACGGUGGCUCACGCCUGUAAUCCCAGCACUUUGGGAGGCUGAGAUGGGUGGAUCGCUUGAGAUCAGGAGUUCAAGACCAGCCUGGCCAACAUGGCAAAAACCUGUCUCUAUUUAAAAACACAAAAAUUAGUUGGGCAUGGUGGCAGGCGCCUGUAGUCCCAGCUACUUGGGAGGCUGCGGCAUGAGAAUCACUUGAACCCAGGAGGCAGAGGUUGCAGUGAGCUGAGAUCAUGUAACUGCACUCUAGCCUGGGCGACAGAGUGAGACUCUGUCUCAAAAAAAAAAAAAAAAAGACUGCAACAUCAACUCUUCCCUUGGUCACCAGCAUGCCCUGAAGAUUGUGGAUUUGUCAGUCCCUGUAAUUGCAUGAGCCAGUUCCUUAAGGUAAAUAUCAGUAUCUACCCCCACCCCCACCACUCUCUCUCUCAAUCUCAAUCUCAGUCUCUCUCUCUCUCAAUCUCAAUCUCCCUCUCAAUCGCCCUCUCCCUCUUCCUCUUCCUCUCCCUCUCUCCCUCUUGGUUCUGUUUCUCUGGAGAACCCUGACUAAUGCAGAUAGGAAGAUAAAUAAAUUUAAGUUGUUUGGCUCCAGUUGGUAUUAGCAGAAAGCUGCAUCAGGCUUCUCUAGGUGUUCUUGGUGUGUGCGUAUAUUGCUUUUUGUAUAGAUGAGAAUAGUGAAAUAUAGAAGGGAAGUGAUGUACCCACAGUCAUGCAGACAGUUGAUGGGAGAGCCAAGGAGAAAACUCAAGUUUCAAACCUCUGGUGUAGUUCAGUCGCUUUCUUGCUAUUUGGCCCUCAUGUUUUUAUUAGCAAGGUAAUAAAGUUAUUGAGUUUGCCAUGCGUAAUUAUUGGUAAUGUUUAUGGAAUGUUCUCUGUAUGUCAGGUGCUGUUUUAGUUGCCCUACAGGUGUUAGUGAUUUUAAUCCUUACAACUACCUAAUGAGAUAGGGAAUAAUACUAUCCCAUUUUACAGAUUUUAAGCAAUGAGUCCAGUGAGCGAUGUGGUCAUUGCUACACAGCUAGUGAGUGACAGAGCUGGACUGAAGACUCAGGCAGCCUGGCUGCAGAGGUUGUGCUAUUGACUACUCCACCGCUUCUCAGCUUAAUGCCCCGAGCACAGCUUUUCAUCUCUCCCUUUGGAACCAUUGUCCAGAAUAUUUAUUAUGGUAGUGUGCUCUUGGUAGGGCUUGUAUUGAAAGAGAAAAUGCUUAUAAGUUAUUUUUCAAGAGACCAUCCGAUAAUGCUUCUUAGCUCCUUGAAAAACAGAAAACAUUCCCAUUACAGCAACACUGUAGACCACCUGCUGGAGUAUAUUUUUAGCAACUAGACUUUGCUGUCUAGCCUAGUGACACUGGUGGGCAUCUGAUUUGCCCAGGGUCAUACAGGAGCGUGAUAAAGUGGUGAUAUGAGUUGGCUCCUGGUUCAGCAUUUUGGGGUGUGUUCUGGGGGAGAAAAUAGCAAACCUCUUUGUGUGUGUCCCUUGGAUCUUUGAGAGAACAAUCAUCAUAACUCCCAUUUAUUAGGUCUGUUGGGUGCUAGAUGCUGUUGUAAGUGCUUUAUAAACAUUGUCUCAUGGAAUCUUCUCAAUAGCCCUGAAAGGCUGGCAUUACCAUCCCAUUUUACAUAUAAAGUAAGCAGUGAUUAGGGAGUGACAUUUCCAAAGCAAGUAGCAGAACCAAGGAUUAAACCUCAUCUGAAUGACUCCAAGCCAGUGCUCUUGGUCACUUGGCUAUGUCUAUACUGGGUGUCUGUACUGGACCUCUCUCUGUAUAUACUGGGUAUCUAUACUGGAGCUCACCAUUCUUCCCCAUAGACUAUGAACUCCAUAAGGGACUUUCUCCAUUGAUUCACCACCAUACUUCAGCACCUGCCAAGUACACUACCUGACACACAGUAGGUACUUAAUGCACAUACAGUCAUGUGUCAUUUAACAAUGGGGAUAGGCAGUUUUGUCAUCGUGUGAACAUCAUAGAGUGUAUAUACAUAAACCUACAUGGUAUAGCCUACUACAUCCCUAGGCGAUAUGAUAUGGCCCUAUUGCUCCUAGGCCACAAACCUGUGUGGCGUACAGUACGACUGUACUGAAUACAUUGUAACACAAUGGUAAGUGCUCAUAUAUCUAAACAUACCUAAACAUAGAAAAAGUAAAGCCCUGCAGUGUGUUACAGUGGCUACAGUGUCACUAGGCAAUAGGAAUUUUCAGCUCCAUGUAAUCUUGCGGGCCCACCAUCAUGGGUGCGGUGCACCAUUGACUGAAAUGUUAUGCUGCACAUGACUGUAUAUUGAGCGAAUAACAGACUCAUUGUGUUCUCUGUGAUCGCUUCCGAAUGGCGAGAGGGCCAGGGCCAAAGGGCACAGACCUGUGAGUGUGUUAUGGACUCAUGUGGGUUUAGCCUUCACGAUAUAUAUGAAUAUAUCAUAAUGUGUGUAUCUAGUGUGUGAAUAUAUAUCAUAACUUAUCCACUUUAUGGAUAUCAUAAUUUAUCCAUUUUAGUGAUUCCAGGACAUUUUGUCUAUCUAUGCUUUUUUUUUUUUUUUUUUUUUUUUGAAAUGGAGUCUCACUCUGUCACCCAGGCUGGAGUGCAAGUGGCACAAUCUUGGGUCACUGCAGCCUCUGCCUCCCCAGUUCAAGCGAUUCUCCUGCCUCAGCCUCCUGAGUAGCUAGGACUACAGGCACAUGCUACCACACCCGGCUAAUCUUCGUAUUUUUAGUAGAGAUGGGGUUUCACCAUGUUGCUGGUCUCAAACUCCUGACUUCAAGUGACCUGCCCGCCUCAACCUCCCAAAGUGCUGAGAUUACAGGCAUGAGCCACCGUGCCUGCCCUCUAGCUAUGCUUUAAGGCAGGCCUAUCAGCCCAGACUGGAGUCAUGUAAUACAUGGCUCUGUCAGUAGCUCUCCUUCCCACAAAUAAGUUUUGAUGAUCUUACACUCAUCCCUGCCAUUAGCAUUCAGGACCAAUCUUCUAUAGCCUAUACGCCACACUGGUCUAGGACAGCACCUAAAUAAUACUCAUGCUAUAAAAAAUUCAUCAAGUUAUAUAUUUUUAAAAACAUCCCUAAAAUUAUCUUUUUCCUUUACUGAAAAGAAUUUCAGGAUCCCCUCUCUCUCACUGCCUCUCUUCACACACACCUACCUUAGUUGGUCACCUAUUUUGUAAACAUAUCUUCUUUAAAAAAAGAAAGAAAUGGCAGUACAUGAAAAACUGCUUCGUAAACAGAAACUAUAUUAUUUAUAUUUGUAGCAUUUUUUUCCCCUUGAGGUUAAUUUCCUUUGCUUCCCAUAACUGGAAGCCAAUGAUUCAGUGCCAUUAUAUAAGCUUAUUUUCCCUCUUGGAAAUAGUAAAUUAUAAGAGGUUUGACCCAAAAAUAUACAUCAAAAUUAGGCAGUAUUCGGUGUUUAGCCUCCAUCUGCCUUGUCUUCUUGUCUUUAGUUGUGCAAGUAGAUGCUGAUGAUUUCUGGCAGAGCUAAAGUAAGUAAAUCAUGUGAAUUUAUUUUUUUUCCUCAUAAAACAGAUGGCAUGGUCUAGCUCUGGGCUUGUAUGUUUCAUGAAGUACAUGGGUCUGAGUGCGUAUUUAUUUUGUGAGCCAAGGUUUAUGCCUUCUUCUAUAAUUUUCUUUCACCGAAAAUUACCUGGAGAGCUAGAAACUCCAUUUGUGUCAGUGUAAGAAGCUUUAGAAUCUAUAUCCAGACCAAGGCCAUGGAACAAUGUAGAUUCACUCAGUAAAAACUCACUAGCGGCCUUCUUUGUACUAGUCUGUCACCUUUGCUUGGCUUUGGGAAGCUUCAAACUAGGGCAGUUUAUGUUUGGGAGUGACCAGUCAAAUAGCAAGACAGACAUAGGCAAGGAUGUAAUUUUUAAAAAUUUAAGUGGGGAAUGGUGAAGCAUGAAUCAAAACAGAAGGUAGUCUUACCUUCUUGGAACUGUAAAAUAAAUACAUUUGAAAAAGGCACCCUCUCAACCUUCUGCGAGUCAGAAUUUUUGCUGCCACCCCUCAUUUUGAAUCUCUAUUCUGCAUUUUUUAUUCUUUUUUUUAGGAAGGAGGAAGAAAAAUUUCUCCUGAAGAAUUCAUUGGAAAUUAAAAUUAACUUGCGUAUUUUGUAUUCUUUGGAAUGUGAUGAAGACUGAUUUGAAAGGGCAGUGCUGGAUUUGGUCAGGCAUAGGAAAGGAAGACAUGCAGUCGUCCUGCCUAGCUCAUCCCCGCCACGAUGGAGAAGUGGGGUUGCUUUCGUUGUACUUUUUUUCAUUUGUUUCUUGCCAAGCCCAGUGGCUUCUGUUAUAACAUGUGGCAGCUUCUCCCUUGGAGACUGAUUCAGUCCAAGUUACCAUAAUAUUUAGGACCAGCUACAGAGACGUUUCUUCCCCUAAACCCAUGCCAAAUCUAAAUCAAACUAUCUUCUUCUCCUUAGCCGUUCAAAUAGCUCCAGCUCUUAUAUAAAAAUACGAGAAAUACACAGGCCUCUUUUCGUUUUAUUCCUGUUCAAACAGAUAAACAAACAAGGCACAUCAUGCCUAGGUUGCUUUGAGCUUGAUCACUUCCUCCUAAAGCAGUCUUACGCUGUGUUGAUUUUAAGAAUUGCAACUUAGGUGUUCUAGAACAUAUUCUGAGAGCAUAGUCAUAGUCUGUGAUCUCAGAAUAUGUUUGCUUCCUUCUAGAACAUCUGAGUUCUAGAAAUUGCGUACAAUAAACUGCUGUCAGUGCUGCUGGAGGAAGGAAGAGUAACUCUGACAUCACUGGCCUUCAACAGGUGUGGCGCUGAGCUUCUGGGCCUCAGAAGCCCUGACUUCUAGAGGCUGGGGGCCAGCGGGGCAGGGAGGUGAUCUCAUCAUGGAUGGCCACAGAUCAUCCACCUGCCAAACAGUUAACCCUGAACAAGUCAUGUCAAUUUAUUUUGCUUUUAAAAAAGAAAGUCUGCAAAAUAGAAAAAAAAAAAAAAAGAUUCUUCAUAAAUACAUUUGUUCUGAUCUGUAAAUACCCUGGUCAUUUCCCCCUUGGCAUUUGAUACACAUAGUAUAGACAUAUUUUAGUCAUCCUUGCUCAAGUAAUUAUAUUCCAUAACCAACUUUAUUAGCAUAAAUUAACUUCCUCAUAUUUUUAGCAAGAGUUACUUUCCUUCAUUGCUUAGCUUAUUGUUUUGAAAUAUGAAUUACUUCAGCACAGUUCAUUUUUGUGGAUGGCAUUUCUGUCUUUUUAAUUUAUAAUUAUUUGAUAUAUACAAAAGAUGGUAUGUAACAUACAAGUAAACUCUAAAGCACAAUUUUAAAGGUGCUCCAGUGAACCACCAUCCAACUUAAGAAUUGGCUCAUUACAAAUACUUGGAGAUCUCGCUAAGUAUCUUAUUCCUAGCAUUUUCCUGCUUUCCCACUAUUCCGAAAUUUGUAUUUAUAAUUAUCCUGAUUUUUAAACAAACAUAUAUUUUUAUCACAGUGUAAUGAGUAAAUGUGUGUUGCUAAAGGUAUUUUGAGACAUAUAAAAAUAGUAUCGGACUUUGCAUGGUCUUUUUGGAACUUGAGAUUUUCCUCCAUAUAUUUGCAAAAUUCAUCCAUGUUUUCAGGAAUAGCUACAGUUCCUUCAUAUUGCCAGAAUAUUCUAGUGUGUGAAUAUAUCAUAAUUUAUCCACUAUCUUAUUUAUUGAGGGGGGGUGGGAAACAAGGAGCUCUUUUUAUAGACAUGUUGAGUCUGAGAUCUCUAUUAGAAAUCCAUUGGAAAUGAGCAGGCAGGUGGAUGCUGUUAUUCAGGAGAGAUGACUGAGAUGGAACUAACAGCGUGUAGAUGGCAUCUAAAGCAUUGUCUUCCCAACUAUUCUUAGAAUGAUGGGCCAUUUAGCCCAUCAACUGAGAUUUCUGUGUUAACAGUUUUUUGUUUUUUGUUUUUUGUUUUUUAAUUUCUUAAAGGUCUAUCUGGUGUUUUUUGUUUGUUUGCUUUUUCCCAAAUCUGCCUGGUCACUUUGUUCAAGUGUGACUUGUAAGGGAGUAAACAAGGAGAGUAUGAGCUUCAAAGAAAAUGGGGGGAAGUAUUUUGCCAGCUCUCAUGGAGUUUUGUGAGAUCCAAAAGAAAUGCUAUAUGUAAAUUUGCUUUGUAAACUGAAAAAAGUUAUGCACUCAAUUAUUAUAUUUGAUGAUGGCACCUUGUUGGGUUCUGGUUAAUGCCUCAUAUUCACUGAGUGCUUACUUUAUCUAUAUUAACACAUCUCAUCUUUAUAACAAUCUGUGAGAAGUAGGUACUGUAGAUUCAUAUUUUACAGAGGAAAGUACAGCUUAUAAAUGGUAGACCCAGGAUUUGAAUUCAUAGAGUCUGCUUCUAGAAGGUGUGUUCUUAGCUCCAGUGCUAUGCUGUCAUAUUGAUUUCCUGCCUGCCUUCUCCUUCCUUCCUUCUCCCCUCCCUCCCUCCCUUCCUUCCUUUCCUUCUUUUUUUUUUUUUUUUUUUUUUUUUUUUUUUUUUUUUUGAGACGGGGUCUCACUCUGUCACCCAGGCUGGGGUGCAGUAGCAUGACAAUAGCUCACUGUAGCCUUGACCUCCUGGGCUCAAGUGAUCCUCCUGCCUCAACUUCCUGAGUAGCUGGGACUACAGGCACAUCCCACCAUGCCUGGCUAAUUUUUAAAUGUUUUGUAGAGAUGUGGUCUCCCUAUGUUACCCAGGCUAGUCUCAAACUCCUGGACUCAAGUGAUCCUCCCACCUUGGCCUCCCAAAGUGCUGAGAUUACAGGUGUGAGCCACCACACCUGGCCAUACUGUCCUUCUUUAAAUGACAGGUUUCUUCCCACUCCUUCAGCUUCAAGAGUACAAACAUUUUAGGGUCACAUUUCAGCAUGUCCACCUUGAACCCAGCUACAAAAAUCCUACCCCAGGCAGUGGGCCCCCAGCAAAGGGCUGUGUGUGCUGACCUAGUUUCACCACCGAACCCAGCCCCAGACCUCACAGGGCACUGCUCACCUGCCAGGUGCCCACUCUGUGCUUGUUGAAGAUGGUGUCUUCUUGAUUUCACUUAUUUGCCUGAAGCCACCCAAUAAGUCAGUAGUGGGCCAGAGAAUAGAAACCAAGUCUCCUGCCUUUCAAGUGUCACAUUUGUUUUGUGUUAAUAAGCUAUAUACCUCCAGGGGAUCUGGCAGAAAUUUGAAGGUGGUUAAUUUUACUGCAAUAAAUACUUAAGAAUCCUUUUUAAAGCAAAGAAGUCAAGCCCCCGCCAGGGAAAACACAAUCUGCUCUGAGGGCCUUUGACAAACUGACAUGGGCACUAGGACUAGGUCAUGGAUCAUUGGCCCUUGAUUCUGUCUCCCACUGAGCAUCCCAAAGGGGUUGAGACCUCUGCUGGAGCCACUAGGCUUCAGCCGGACCUGGAAAUGUUCUCGCAAAUGAAACUGGAAUGCAUGAUGUCCUGGAUUCAGCGGGUCACAGCUGACUGCCAUCAGGAGGUGUGACGGAGAAGGUUCCAUUUCUGUGACCCUGUGGUGAUACAGGUCGGGACCCAGGCGAAGUAGCUCAGCCAUCUGAAUUGGCACCUUUCUGCUUUUCUCGCUGAGUGACGGGUGCCUUGCAGUUGGCUUCAGAUGUUUGUGAAUGUGCUGUGUUUCCUAAAGCCAUGUCAGUCAGGAAGAAGAUGCAGGUAUUCAGGAGAAGGGAGAAGAAAAUCUGAAUUAGAAACAACGUGAGGAUGGGGAGCACAGGGAGGGAUGGGUUACCUUUGUCAUCAGAAGAACGCCAGGCAGAUUUUAGUCCCUCAGCUAAUAAUACUAUUUGAAAAAUUGAUGGAGAAAUUUAACUGGAAGGUUUCAGCAAGACAAAAGCUGCAUCUCCAAGGCUGGACUCAGCGUGUUCACGUGGGAACUGGGUGUGAGUGUAAUUGUCAGAGGGGAGGGUUGUCACAGGAGGUGCACGAUGUGAAGUCACAAGGGGACGCAUUAUUUCCAUGAGUUCUCACAGUUCCCAGGGCAGCCACAGAUGGUAGUGGUUUAUGUCUGCCUCUGCCUUGACAGAAGGGCAGUAGGCAGUUGUGGCAAGAAAAAUGGACCAAAUGAGGGCUGCACUCAGCAGGUUAAAUUUGCUGUCUGUUAGUGUUCCUAGGUGAGAUGCUUCAAAACUAGAAUGCUCUGCUGGGACUUUUAUUUCCCUUAGAAAUAAAAGGCCAGGCGCGGUGGCUCAUGCCUAUAAUCCCAGCACUUUGGGAGGCCAAGUCGGGCAGAUCGCCUGAGGUCAGGAGUUCGAGACCAGCCUGGCCAACAUGGCAAAACCCCAUCUACUAAAAAUACAAAAAUUUGCUGGGUAUGGUGGUGGUGGGCGCCUGUAAUCCCAGCUACUUGGGAGGCUGAGGCAGGAGAAUCACUUAAACCUGGGAGAUGGAGGUUGCAGUGAGCUGAGAUCGUGCCCCACUGUACUCCAGCCUGGGAAACAGAGUGAGACUCCAUCUCCCAAAAAAAAAAAAAAAAAAGGUUCUUUGUUCACACUUUCUCUGCGCUGCUGCAAGUGACUUUGGUGCCGUUUCCUGCAGCCUGUGUCGGUGGCUGGGACUUUCUCGACAGCAAGGCAGGCCGUGCAUGAGGCCUAUAGGACCCAGGGCUGCCUCCCAAUGCUGACGGCCCUGCGCUGUGUGAGCUUGGGUAAGCCAGUUCGGCUCACUUCACCUCAGGUUCCUUGUUCCUAUGUGGACGGGUUGCUUGUUUGGAGGAUUAAUAAUGAUGGGGAAUGCAAAGUGUGGUUGGUUUUGCUGGGGAAAAGAGCAGGGAAGUAGAGACCUAGGCAGGUGAUGUCACCUCUCUGAUGAACUCCAAGGUCUCUGUCAACACCGGUGCCUUUGUCCUGACAUUGCGGGGUUUGUGGCAUGAUUGGAGAGACCUUGCGUGCUCUCUGGGCAGCCCUUGUUAGUGCCCCCCAACUAGCUGGGAGAUCCAGAGUUUCAUGAGAACCCUCCCUCCGUGACAAAAUCCGCCUUCCUCGCUGUCAGGCUCAGGUUGUCCUGUGCCCCCACUGAGCCUGCUCAUUAUUGAUUAAUGAACUUGUAAAAUGAGAAGUAUUGUUUUACCGGAAGCUACAUGUUUAUGUGGUUGGUAAAAAUGAGAAGAGUUGCUUGAGAACUGGUUCUCCUUUCCAUGAGUAUAUACAAGGUUCAAAUCUGGGCUUUGUGGUUAUAAGACAUGUUGAGUGAAUAAAAAUGAAGGAAAUGCUGGGCAUUUAUCACAAUUUUUUUUUUUUUUUUUUUUUGAGACAGGGUCUUACUCUGUCACCCAGGCUGGAGUACAGUGGCACGAUCUCGGCUCACUGCAGUCUCCACCUCCCAGGUUCAAGUGAUUCUCAUGCCUCAGCCUUCCGAGUAGCCAGGAUCACAGGCGUGGGUCACCGCACCCGGCUAAUUUUUGUAUUUUUUGUAGAGACAAGCUUUCGCCAUGUUGGUCAGGCUGGUCGAACUCCUGGCCUCAAGUGAUCCAUCCGCCUUGGCCUCCCAAAGUGCUAGGCUUACAGGCAUGAGCUGCUGCGCCUGGCCUUUCACAAUUCUUAAACUGUUGACUUACAGAAACACAGACCUGUAUGAACACACAGAUCACUUUAGAGGUCCGUCUCAGAACUACCUGCUGUCAUGAGUGAUGUACAGAUAAAAUGUGGAAGAUCUAGAAACUAGUCAUUCCUAAUCUCUGCCAUAAGUAAACAUUUUAGUUUAAUGUUAAAAGGUCACUCAGGGUUAUUGUGAGAUUUGAUGAGAUCAUGGCUACAAGGAACCUUUAACUGUAUGAAUGAAAAAUCUAAUGAAACUGCAAAGUCACUCCUAUUUACUAAAACCAGUGUAGUGGCUGUUUCUGCCUCUUUUCUUUCCCUCCUCCCUUCCCUUUUCUUCUCUGUUGUUUCUGUCACUUUCCUCUCCCUUCUACCUUAUUUUUUUCUUCCUUUCCUUCUCCUUCCUCUCUUUCUGGCAUUAGCAGUUUGUUUGUUUGUUUGUUUUUGUUUAUUUUGAGACCGAAUCUCGCUCUGUUGCCCAGGCUGGAGUACAGUAGCCCAAUCUCGGCUCACUGCAACCUCCACCUCCCGGGUUCAAGCCAUUCUCCUGCCUCAGCCUCCCGAGUAGCUGGGAUUACAGACGCCCGCCACCACACCUAGCUAAUUUUUGUAUUUUUAGUAGAGAUGGGGUUUCACGAUGUUGGCCAGGCUGGUCUCAAACUCCUGACCUCAGGUGAUCCGCCCACCUCGGCCUCCCAAAGUGCUGGGAUUACAGGUGUGAGCCCCCACACCCGGCCCUGGCAUUAGCAGUUCUUACACAAGAACAGCGUAGGCAUGAAUCCUGCCUUCAUGGCACUUACACACUAGCAGAGGAAUCUGGCAGCAAAUAAGCACACAAAGGCAGCUGCAGGGUAUGAUGUGCCGUGACGUAAAGGGACAAACACCGUGAGAGUCUAACUAAAGCCUGGCAUGUGUCAAUCCUAUGUACCUAUUCAGAAACUAGGGUUCAUGACGGUGCUUCUGUUGUUACCUAGUAGAAGUAGCUUUGUAAGCACAAAGAUUGUAGUUUUGUGAAGCUAUCUAGUACAGAGUCACUCUGGAAGUUUAGCAUUAUAGAGUUUUUUCAUAGAAAGGAUGGAUAGAUACAAGUUUUUCCUAACAAGCACAAGUGGCAGUCUUUGAAAACUAAUUUUUUAUGUGUACAUUGUAGCAUUGGAAGAUAACUGUGGUUGAGUGUGAUAAACUGAAACUUUUUAAAAAAUCUAUUAUUUUUUUUACAAGUUAAGUUAGAGCCAGAUAUGCUGAUUCUCUACCAUUUUCAAAAGAGGAAUUGGAAAAGGGAGAGCUUGUUUAUGUGGUAUUCACAAUAGUGUCUGCUCCUGAAGAAAAUUUUUGGAAAAAUCUCAUGAGUGUCCUCAGACUAAAAACAGGGAUCCAGUCUGUUGUUCAUGCAGGACUCAGGAGGCGAGCGAGCAUGUGAUACCAGGAAGGGUCCCAUCCCUGCCCUGCUGGGGAGCCCUCAGUGGCGAGGUGGCGAGUUCAGGCUUCACUUCAGAGCAUGGAUACUGCUGCAUAGGUGCUGGAAGGGUGCUGCAUGGGUGCUGGAAGCUGCUUGGCAUAGUGCAUGUCCUGUUUCCUGCCACUUGGAAAGAGGACUGUGGAAGUCAGGUCUUCCCAGUCCUCACCAGUAAAGCAAGCAACGAAUGCCUUCAGUCCAGGUAAUAUGUCCAGGCUUUAAAUUCUCUGGAUCUGUCUUUGGAUACCCUGGGAAAAGUCUUGUCUCUUCUUAGGCCCUUCUGACUAAAAGCAGCCAGGACUUUUAAACUGACUAAUUUUUAAAGAUUUCCAAAUAGAGAAAAUUAAAGCAAAAAUUUUUGAAAGCUGAAAAUGAUCUUUCCAACUUUUCUCAUUCAGAGUAGAACACUGGAGCAUUGAAAGUUUGUUCAUGUUUGUGAUUGAUCACAUAUUUAAAAAAUUGUAAAAUAAAGACCUUAUUUUAAUGUUAAAAGUUCACUUCAACACCAUCAUUUCUACGAGGUUCUAGGUCUUUUGUGAACAAAUUAAAUAUAGUGCUUUCUUUAUAACAUGAAUUAAAUCUAGAUCCCAAUGAUAUUUGGCACCUUCUAAAUACCCAGAUGGCCACUGCGUUUGCCUUGAAGUGAAGACGUGUGUAGAGUUUUAAUCACAUGUUUUAUUUUUUCUCUUUUAAAUAUCGCCUUUUCAAUAGUUGCUUGUUAAUGAAUGACUGAUUGUUUACUGCAGUUUAUAAUCAGGAAUUUGAACAUUAAAAAAUUCUAAUCAGGAUACAGGUUAAAAAACACUUUCCCUCUCAUUCUCUCUUUCCUUAUGCUAGAACAAUAAAAAUAAAUUGUCCUCCCCUUGAAAACAUAGUAGUUUAAGAAAUUUUAUCAUUCUCUUCUUGAAAACUUAAGUUUAAUAAAACAGUUCAGAGGAAACUUAAUUAUAGUUCUUAUACUAUAAAAAGCUCUUAUAAAAACAGGGGUAGGGCCACAAUAAAUUUCACCUCUUGAGCAUAACCACCACUUGAAAAAGAAAGAUGUAGUUAAAAAAUUAUUUUUGCUUUAUCUUCUCCAUUGUUUAAUGCCUGAACAUACUUGGAUUUUUUAACAGCAGGAACAAGACAGAAGACUUUGUUAGCUACCCAGGUAAGAUCAUUUGAGUCCAAAGACCAGAUUCCAGAACAGACUGCAGAUUCCUGUUGAGGACAUGGGUUGUCAGGACAGCCUGGAGGCAGAGGGGUAGAUUCUGUUGUAGGUGUCGUAAGUGACAUUUUGGAUCAGAUUUUUAACCCUCUUUUGUUUUUGAAAGUGAGUAAAUAUUCAUAGCAGAUUAUUCUCAUGAAACAAGACUGACACUAUGACCUCAGGGAAAGAGUGCUUUGGGGGGAACUGUGUAUUUAAUUAAGCAAAGAAAGAGCUGAUGAAAGGGGCUGAGUGUCUCAGAGCUGUUGUUUCUUCUGCCGAAUUUUUCCAAAUAGGAGCACAGAAGUCCUGAGAACACUGCCUCUCUAUAUGUUGUGCUCAGUCCACACACUGCCAACAAAUGUGCAUACACACACACACACAUACACACCUCAAAGACAACCCCUCCAGCCUGUGGUUUUCCUGAAUUAGCUUUCCCAAAGUACCUUGAGCACUAUGGGUUCAGACUGGGGUUUGGGUUUGGUGACAGCUGUCAGUGCUCCAAAGGCAGAGGACUGAACUUAGGGCAAAUCUGUGGCAACAGAAAGCUCUUUUCUGUUCCAUGAAAGUCAUGGAUGAUGCUUUCAGAUCCUGUCUGCAAAUUGCCCAACAUCGCAUUGAUAAUGGAAACAAAUGAUCUGACACUCACAUAGCUAAAUAUAAUUUAGAAUUUUGAUGUGAGGUUGAAACAUGAAAGAUCAUGCUUUUCAAACUGCUGUGAUGACUUACACAGACAAUUCAUUUUAGAUAAUGGUGAGUUAAGCCUGGCAGCCUCUGAGCGUUUUCCCCUCAUUUGUUCAAACACCUGCAGUUGGGUACUGAUGCACAUGUUUAAUUGCUUAAACUUAAAUUAUAAAAUCCCUAAAAGGAUGUUUUUCUCCUAGAAAAUAAGUCAGGUCUCUUGCAAAGGCUGCCUGCUUUCAUGAGCUUCUUGUAUUUCCCGGGAUGCUUAUGCGCCAGCCCCUGUUAGGUCUGCUUUUAAACACAGGAAGUUGAGCCCUUCAGGGAAAGUGCCGAUGUCUGAACCAUCAGCAAAAUCACUACACCCAUUCCCUGGGAAGUCUAGUUCAUCAGAAACAAGUUUAAUUCGGGAACUGUAGUUUAUCCAGGUUCCGUGAAGGCAAUUAGCACUGGGCAAAGGGCUGUUUGAUCAGCCUAGAGAGAGACCGCCUUUACGCCUAAAGCUCCAGUCAUUUGUCUCUACUCCCGCCGACUCGCAGCGGCCACAGAAGACAUCAGAACUGGAUGAAAAUGGCCCUGCCCCUGCGACAGAGCAGGGCGCUUCUGGCUUGCGCCUUGUUAUUUGUCCCUCCAGUGGUUCCUAGCUGUUGUGACGUCAAGGCUGCCAUUCAGAGCAGAGAAAAAGGAAACCAUGGCCUCUCUUCGCAUCAGUAGCCCGGACAAGCUGUUGUUUCUCAGGCAUCCAAAGCGCUUUCUGUCUGGCAGAGCUGUGCAUUCCAUGCCUGGGUGACCUGGUUAAAUGGAGGAAACCAAAUGCUAUCCGCUGAAUGCUCUCCAAAACAAGCACUCCGCCCUGCGCGUCUCAAGCACAGGCUUCACUGCCUCCGAGGACUGUGAAGGGAACAGCAGCACUGCCUGCAUUUGCUGCUGGCAUAUUCAGCUUCUGGUCAGGGUCUUAAAGGAGAAAAUAACAUCCUCAAUGGCCUCGAUUAAUGCACACUCACCAACGUGUUUGUGCUGCCUUUGGGGUCAGUGCUACAAAAUCCUUUUUUAAAAAAGGAUUCGGAAUCACAGUCAGAAGUUCAAAACUGCUGAACUGCCACCUCUUCCUUCCUGUCUCACUUCGGCUCACGCCAUUCCCCAAUUUCAGGUUUCUGAAUUCCAGAAAGGCUCUUGUGUAUGUGAACAUAUUAAUCUUGCACCGUGCCUUACUGAACGUGUGUAUGUUUUGCACACACAUGAGAAAGACUCACAAGUAUAAUGCGUGGAUCACAACUCUAGGAUUUUCUCAAUGAAGAGUAACACCUUAUGCUUUUCAGAGAAAAGGGGCUAUUUCACAGUGUCACAGAACUCUCCUUAGGAGCAAGCCAAGAUCUCUGUAGCAAACAUCAAUCCUGCAAGGCCAAAAGCUCACUAAUAAAGUUCUGAUCACGUAGAGUGACUGCCUAAGAAUUGACCAACUUCAGACUAAAUUUUCUGAGGACAUACCUUCUUGGGUUUCUUUCUGGCAUGAGAGACUAUUUUAUUAGAUUCUUGGAUUCAAUUAUAGUCACCAGAAAAAGCAAGGUUAUAACAACCACGCUUUGUGUUCCAGAGUUGUCUUAGUUAACUCAGUAUUCAUUUGAGGUUUUAUGUUACAAAUCCCAUUAAAUCUUUCUCAAAAUAGCCCUUCUCUGAACAUUUGAUGGAAGAAUAUUUGCAGGAACCAAAACCAUUUGAUAUAUACACCGGUAUAUGUCAGGAAGGAUCGUGAUACAGGGGUGCCUUUUAAAAGUGGGUUAUUAUACGACAGAAUUCUUCCAGGUCCCUGACUCUUGUCUUCUGAAAAAAAAAAAAGUGGAGAUCUUCAGAGGACUGGAUAAAGACAGAAUGGAUGGGGUGAAUUAUGUAAAGUUAGGAUUUAGACUGAGGGUUUACAGGGCUGCAGUCUCGUUUUGCCUCAACAGUCAGACUUGCCCAGGGUCUGGCCUAAUACCAUACAAAUGUCAUAUCCACAGUGGCAUUGAUACAGUGGUGGGAAUGGGGCAUGGGGGUGAUGAGCAUAGCUUCUUGCUGAGUGCUCUGGUCCGGGUGAGCCUGAGAUCUUGAGAGAAAAACUAGGACAUUAUUUCCAUCGUGGGCUGAAGAAUUAGUUCUGCUACUUGCAUAUCAGUUAAUCCUUUUCUUUUUUUUUUUUUUUUUUUUUGCUAUUACUACCAUUUCAGGAGGUACUUGUUAUCUGAAGAUAACUGAUACAGGACCACUACUGCUGUUUUAAGAGGAUUGACUUAAAACUGAAUCACACAUUUAAAAACAAACAGUCACUUUUUUUUUAAAGAUCUUAUUGGGACUAAGUCCUGAAAAAAAUAAAACUAAAGUUGAAGUUUAGUUUGUUUUAUAUAAUAGAAAUUUGGGAUAUGAUGCAACAGCAUGUUAUUUCUUAGAAGAAAGAUUGAAUGUUGACUUCUAAAGCAGAAUCAUAUAAAGAAGAUGAUUUUUGUACAAGCAUUCGAAUUUCCCCAAAGGCCUCUCUUAAUCUUUUGAUAUACAAACCAUUCUCUUGAAGAGUCUACCUCUCAUGUAAUCACCUCUGUUGACUUUCUCUUCAAUUGUUAACUGUUGAAACUGUCUUUCAUCUUGUCAGUGACCCUAUGUGAUUCAUGCAGUUUGCUGGUAUCAUUUUUAUCAACUGUGUGAAAAUCUGCAAUUCCACCUUACAAGUGAGCUACAUUGGAUUUUCAUUUUAUUCUAUGACAUUAUUCAACCAAGAAAGUGAGCAAGAAUAGAUGCUGAUGUUAAUGAGGACUAAUAAUAAGUGAUCACUGUGUUUGUCAAUAUUUUUAUAUGAUGAUGACCUUUGCUUCCUUAUGCAACUUGGUAACUACAGGGAUUCAGAUAAUGAUUACUCGAGUAAUGAAUCCCCACCCCCUGCCAAAUAUUAUGUUGUGUUUAAAGUACUCAGUAUGGUUUAGUGGGCUUUAUAAUCAACCACAUGUAGAUUUGGAAGCCACCCCUGACACUUCACUGAGUUCUAUAACCUUGAGUGUGCUAUUCACAGAACCUAAGAUUCUUGAUCUUUUAUGUAGAGUAACAAAACCAACCUUGCAUCCUCUAGACAUUGUAAAGUCACAGAAAAGUUUUGAGGAAUGCAGCGACAUGAAUUUUACUACAUUUUAGAAGACCACAGCUGGGGACUCUGUAUGCCCCGCAUCAGCUAAUACCAUUUGAUAGCCAUUUUUUUCAUGGCAUAGGUGAGAACACUAAGGCCCAAGGAUAUGAUGUACUUUCUUGGCAUCACAUGGUUUGGUUCUGGCACAGCCAGGCCUAGAACCCAACCUUCCUACUGCCUGCUGUGUUUCUUCACCACCCAGUUGCUCCUUGGCAAGUGAACCAAUUACAAAGGCUGUCUUACUUGUCCAAGGACAGAGAGAAAGGUGCAUCCUGGGUGACUGGAAAUGGGAGUGGGAGGGAGAGGAUGGAGGCAGCAGACAUUGAAAGUAAGUAUUGACUAGACUUGGUGACAGAAUGGCUCAGCUCGGCUCAGUGAAGAAGGGAGUCCAGAGGCCAAACUUUCAACCCUGGUGGGAUGGCUAUACAGUUAAGUAAAGUAAAAUCAGUAGAAUGGUGUUGGUUUUUUUGCUUCAUGAUGAAUUUAAAGGGACUGCCUUAUCCAGAUAGAAAUAUGUUAAAGAUAUAGGUAGGAGAGGUAGCUACCAUUAAAGAUACAGAUUUGAGAUUAAUGCCACAGAAGGAGAGCUGAAACCACUGUACUACAUAUAACCGUGUGUGUGUGUGUUGCACAUGUGCGCACACGCACUUGUGUUAAACUGGAUUUGUUGGCGUAUCUCCAAUUCAAACCUGGGUCAGGUGAUUAUGUUGUAACUUACUGCCCAGUUAUAAUCACAAACUGUUACACCUUCAUCAGAAGGAAGAGCGAGUUCCCUAGAUCAGUGUGUUUGUGUGUUUGUUUUGUUGGAUGGAUCCUGCCGAGGCACUGAGAGACAGACUUUGCUGGGCCCUGUUUUGUAAACAAAUCUGUUCACGCACGCUUUCUUCUAUCAUUGGAUGUGUACACUGGCUCUGAUUUUCCCACCCGACACGCCAAAGCCUAAGCAUUUAGAAGCUUGUUUUCUUUUAGAAGUAGGCAGGCACCAAAGAAAAACCUGCAUAUGCAUUUAAAGUGUGCACAUCUACCCUAAGUAAGUCUUUGGAUCUUUACAGUUUUAACUCUGGGCCAUGUACAGUGUAUUUCAGCCCACUACACACGGCAGACCUGCGAGACGUCCUGACAGCCCCCACAAAACUAUGGACUGAGCUUAGUGCAAAAGAGAAAGCCCUUCUUACCCUUAAAGUUCACUGCACGGGCCAUUGUGGGAUUAGUCACCCCAGAUGAUAAAACAUAAUACUGGUUUUCCUAAGUAGGGGUGAUUCAGCUUUCUCUUAGAUUGGAAUAUGAACUUAAUGUAUAUAAUACAUACAGUCACUUCCUGAACUUGUAGUUUUUUGCAUGUUUUAUUUAAUAUUCUAGCCAGGUUUAAGUUUUUAUGGCAGGAAGUAUGUGAAUGGUUAUGACAGGAGUAAAUAACAGUUGAUUUUAUGAUUACAGUACAGGAAGUAACUUUUCACACCAAAUAAAUCUUUGGGAAAAAAGUGCUGGCUUAUAAAUUUAACGUACAUAAAUUUUCCAGAAUCUUGCAUACAGUCGCCUGUGCUCUCUUAAAUGGAACUAAAUACCUGGCUGGUCUUUUUUCUUUUAACUUUUUUUUGUCAACGAAUGUCUUUGUUUUAGAAAGAGGCAUUUUCAAGUGUUUUGAUGUGACCCAACGUGACCUAAAACCAUUAAAAGAUUCUAAGCAAAAAUAAUAAGGCCAAACUUUAGUGUAAAUAGCAUGAAAGGCUUGAAAACUAAAUAAAAAAUUAUUUUUUCCUUUAAGAGUAAAUAGCUAGGCUAGGCAUGGUAGUUCAUACCUCUGAACCUGUGAACCAUUGCUUUGGGGGGCUGAGGUGAAAGGAUUGCUUGAGCCCAGAAGUUCAAGACGAGCCUGGGCAACAUAGCAAGACCCCUUCUCUAUUAAAAAAAAAAAAUAGCCAGAUGUGGCACACGCCUGUAGUCCCAACUACUCAAGAAACUGGGGCAGGAGGAUCACUUGAGCCCAGGAGUUUGAGGCUGCAGUGAGCUAUGAUCACGCCACUGUACGCCAGCCUAGGCAACAGAGCGGGGGGCUCUGUCUUAAAUGACCAAAUCAUUUUUCAUCAUUAAAGCCCGGGAAGCCUCCAAACUGCCACCGAGUCAAGUUCCUUCCAGUGACUCCUAUAGCCAUGAUCUGCAGGCACUUGGGAGGAACAGCCUGUUAACAUCAGAGAGGCUGUUGCAUGUGAACAAGUUUACAGAGAAGAGGAAAGAAUUGGAUAGAACUUCAGUUACAUUUCAUUGUAAGCAGAGCUUUAACAGAGGCUUUGUUUUUCCUUGAAUAAAAAAAUGAAUAGCGGGAAUACAAGAUUUAGAGAAGAUUUCUUUCUUCACCCUUUUCAUCUUAAAGCCUAAAGAUGUUGUAAUGAGAAAAAUAUUGUGACAUUCCUUUCUGAAGGUUACUAUUACACACACGUGAAUUAUGUGAACGAAUGGGUGGAUGCCUGGCAGAUUAAAAUGUGGAGUUCCAGAUGCAUUCAUAACCACCAUGUGGCUAUGACACAGUGGCACAUCAUUGGGCUGGGAGUGAAAGGAUGAAGGUUCAGACUUCAGCCCUGUGUCUGGGAGCCUCACCCAACCACCCUGACGGAAAACAGGAUCUCUGAAUCCCUUCUACCUCUACAACUCGGUACCACACAUUGUGCAACUAAGUAACUUGCAAGUUAUGUGAAACUGUUUUCACAGGAUCAGCAGAGUUACCACUGCUUCGUUGUCCUGAAUCUUCAUUACAUUUUUACAGACAAUAUAUUUGCAUGUGACAUGAUUAAAAAUCUACCUUGUGUUUUUAUGGUCUUUGUAGGUUUUAAGGUAGUUUCUUAUAUGCUGUUUUCCUUGCUGUGCAGCCAACCUGGGUGUUACUGGCAGACAUGCUGAGGGCAGGCUCUGGAUGUGGAGUCAAGGUCAGGCUCCCUGGCUCUGAAUCCUGGCUCAACCACCUACUGAUUGUGUAACCCUGGGCAUGUCCUUAAGCACCCAGGGCCUCAGUUUCCUUAUCUGUAGGAUGAGGAUUAAAAAUAGAACUUACCUCCAGGGCUGCUGUGAAGAUUAAACGAAUGGACGGAUGUGUAGCUUGUGGUAGCGCCUGAGCUGGCCCUGCAUGUCAGUGUGCUGUUCUCGCUGAUGAUGAAACUGGCUUAGCGAGGUUGGGUGAUAUGCAUAAGAGCAAAUUAGCAAAAAAGAUGAGCCAGAACUCAAACACGGCCUUAGGACUUCUCAGUGGCUGGUGCCCUUCCGUUGUGAGACCACUCUCUCUCCUGCCUAUAAAAGUGCCACGAAAGAGUGCGCUCCAUUUCAUUGUUUAAAAGAGAACUGAGUAAAUGUUAAACAUGAAGGUCAUUUGUCACGGGGUUUUACUUUGUUUGGAGAGGGUGGACUCUAUAACUCUUGAAUGGUGUCCACAGCAUAGCAAGGACCUGGACAGCCUCCAUGGUUUCAUCACAUUCUCAACAUCCAGCCUUAGAAAUAGCUCCCUUUAGGUCACCAAAUUAACAGGAGUUUCUAAAGGAUAGCAGCUUUUUUGCAACUGCUGCAUCUGUUAGAUUCAUGUUCUCUUUGCUCCCUUCUCCCCAAGCUUCUAUUUCAUGAUCUUUUUGUUGUUUUGCUCUACUUUUCCUCUUUUUAAAACCUCUGCAUUGGCCACCCAGGAUUUAAGAGGAGCUUUUCUGGAAAGCUGUCUGAAACAGGAACAAAUUACACAGAAACACUGAGAGCUGUGAACUUGUGUGUAUACCUGACAUAGUGGGAGAGGGGGGCUUCCUUCUAAGUAAUAGAGAAGAGUGAAUAUUCUAAUCAUUGAGUAGUGGUCAGGCCUGUAAUCACUGCUUUUUCUUUUGCUGAGCUCGGUAUCAACGGACAAGCUCAAAAAUUGUAGCUAUUUAAAAUUACUCUCCAUGUAAAGGGUUCCUGUUCCUUUGAUCCUAUCACAGACUUCCUUUUUUUCUAUUGAGGAGGUUCAUAAGAUCUCGUGGGCAAGGGCUGAGGAGAUGACUAUUGCGUAGUGUAGUUGUUUUAAAUUAAAAAUUUACCUCUAGUUAUAGGUGCUACUUUUUACUUACCCUCAAUUUGGAGAUUACAUCAUGCAGGCUGGGCACAGUGGUUCAUGCCUGUAACCCCAGUGCUUUAGGAGGCCAAGGCGGGAGAAUUGCUAAAGGCCAGGAAUUAGAGACCACCCUGGGCAACACAGCAAGGCGUCAUCUCUACCAAAAAAAAAAAAAUUAUCUGGGCAUGGUGGUACUUACCUGUAGUUUCAGCUACUCUGGAGGCUGAGAUGAAGUGAGACCCUGCCUCUAAAAUAAAUAAAUAAAUCAAUUAUGUAUAUCAGGCAAAUGAUUUCCAUACUCUUCUUGUUAAAAUAUCAGUUUGGUAAAGAUGGUAAAAGCUUAUCACAUCCCAGGAAGUCGAGGCUUCCGUGAGCCAGGAUCGCACCACUGCACUCCAGCCUGGGCGACAAGAGUGAGACCCCGUCUCAAACAAACAAAAAAAAAAAGUGAAAAUUCCCUUUCAGAAUUUCACAUCCAAAAAUGUGAAAUAAAAGAGUUGGGGUCUAAGUGGCAAAGUGCUGCCGUGUUUCAAGUUAAGGGCUUCCAUGGAUUGUGUGAUAAAUACAGGUGUGAAUGUGGGUGAUUUGUUUUAUUCUUCAGUGCCCAUUAAGUAGAAGCUUGUAUUUUCCUCCUUCCCCCUUCAAGAGCCCCCCUCCCCACCAUGCAGGCACAUGGAGGCCCCAAGUUGGAAGCACAUUCACAGCCUGAAGCUGAAGGACAGGCUCUGAAAAAUCUUUCUUUCAGCAAAACGUCUACUAAUCUCAGAAAGUGAGCUUUGUCACCAUUGAUACUCUGUAAGGUGGGAUGAAAGCAAGUUUUCUUACUCAUUUUGCCCAGUUGUCAAGAAAUGCUGCCCUUCUCUCUAACAUAAAUUAACAGGUUUGGCUACAGCCUAGAGAAAUACAAAAUGUCACAUUUUAGCCUUAGUGGCCGGUUUUCAAAGGGUGCCUGAGUGUGAACACCAUGUCGGCUGCUCUGUUAAUGUGACUGGGUCUCAUAAAUAGGUAUUUUUCUACCCCUGUGAUGGACAAAUCUGAAAAAGUUUUUUCAUCUUACAAGCCCAGAGGAUGGUAUUUAGAGGCUGAUUUUUGGUAUCUCAGUUCCUGGUAGGGAAGACGAAUUCCGUAUUUGAAAUUUGGGGACAAACAAAAAUAAUUCUUUCUCUUUCCUUGAAGGGUUAAUGCUCCAACCAGCCUCAGAUUGGUUCGCUUGAAUCUUAAAAUUACUUUUCUGGUCACGCGCACCGAAGGUCUAAGCAUUUGUGAAAUGUCUUUUUUUUUUUUCUUUCCUCUUGAUGCUGUUCUCUUUGGGCUGUCUUAAUUACACAGGGGUUGAGAAACCAAAUUAAAAUUAGGCGUGUCUGGUCAACAGUGAUCACGUUGCAUGCUUUUAGCUUUGCUUGUUGAAGUUGCUUCUCCUCCCCGAGUGGCUUUCCUCCCCACAAUUUUUUUUUUUUGAAGGAAAUAUCAUAAGCUCUUUCAGAAAUACUCACAGGAAGUGAGAGUCCGUAUGCUGGUUACUCACCAGCAACUGAGUGUUGGCAGGUGGAGAAUGCUACCGCAGCCCGCCCAGACGGAUCUGCAGACUGGCCCCAUCGCAGAGGAUUAGACAGAGGGUGCAUGGAUCAUAGGGUUUUUGAACAGAAGGGAGUUUUAAGAGGAAAUUGGUCACUGCGUGUCAUCUCGAGGGGUGGUGAUUCAGGGAGCAGGGCUGGGGGUCAGAAGGCACGUGGCUGCCAUCUCAGAGGUUGCUGCUCACUUCUCAGAGGGCAGGCUGGCUUCUAAAAAUCAACGCUCCCUCCACCCCCAAACAGCGAUUCUUCUGCAGUGAAUCACUUCCAGAAAUGAAUAGCCACAGUUUUUUGGAAUGAACGUUGUGAAAUCCCUCCUUUAUAAUGGCAGGUUUUCAGUUGGUGGUUUUAUCAGAAUUUCUCAAGAUCAAAACGAAACCUUCUCUUUAAAAAGGAAAGAAAGUACUAUCGAUACAGAAAGCAAAAGUAUUUCCAGUCUCCUACUGAACUGUCACGGCAGACCUCUCUGUAUCUAUAUUUAGAGCUGUAUGUCCAUAUAUUUGCCUGAAUGUGUGAGUUCUUGGAAGUAUGGAUUCAUUGCCAGGAGCUGGUGAUUUCCUAAGCAGAGGUCGCUAACUACAAGAAAUGUUACACUCGGUGAGUAGGUGGUACUUUCUGAAGAUUAUUGGUAACCCAGUGUUGGUCGUCUUGAGUCAUGGAUUUAAAUGACGGCUAGCAAGCUCUUAAACACCUUCUGCUUUAUAUGAUACAGAGUAUGGAACUGCAGGACGCACAGACAACUGUGAAGGGUUUUUAAGAAUAUGGAUUCAUUGAAUAAUCAGUGAAUCUUGUGAAUAUACUAGACCUUUGGAGGAGGAAAGGGUGUUUUACAGAAGGAAGUGGUUUGUGGGGGCUUUUAAAGGUACAGUUAUCGCUUUUCUAUAUUUAUUUUCAGCAUCAUUCAGUCCUCCUAUAUGAAAGAAAGAAAUGGUCUCGAUAGAGAAAAAGUUAUGCUGACUCUUUAAAUGAAGAAACUUGAUCCUCAUGUUACUCUUAACUGGACUUUUUUCCUCCUAAAUAUUCAUAAGGGAAACUAUCCCAUGAAGGCAACUAACUUUCUGGCAAUCUCUAUGAUGUGUCUAAUUCAGAACCCGGUGGGCUCUCCAUGCAUUAUUGGCAGCACUUUUAUCCAGGGGCACAGACAGGGAAUAGGGUUACUGGAAACAGGGAGUGUAGCUCAAGGAAUUGUUCUCUCUCUGGAGUGGAUAAGUUGUUUGACCUACUGACUCAUUUCAUAGGAAUUAGGAAAACAACCUAGUGUGGUUUUUAUUGUUAGUCCUGGAGGAUUCCAAAAUCUGUGUGCCUGCAAAUAAGAUGAGCUGGGGAAAGGGAGCACCAGCAUUUGGUGUUUCUACUUGCCUCUUUUCCUGAUGGAAUCCAAUCCUCUGCUUCCAGGACAAGUCCUGCGCUUGGGGAUCCUCUGUACGCCCGUUCACUGGUGAGUAUGUAUGACAGCAAUUUCUGAUUUCACUAGUUCUUGCUUCUAACACCUAAAUGGUGCUUUGUCUAGGGAAACGCUUUAAAGAGCAUUUUCCCCCAGUACGUUUAUAAUACAUUUCAUAUUUACCUCCAGAAAAUACUGUGGAUGUGAUAAUAAUUAUAAAAGACAACCCACAGACAACAAUGAAAGUUAAGAAUUAAGAUAUAUUCUGAUAGAUUUUUGCAGCAUAUUGACAUAAAGGCAGUUUUGGUUUUGACAUAUGUACACUAAAAUGAUAUCUGUAAUGCUAUUAAAACUCAAGUGUACAAGGCACCAGUAUAUUCUGGCAAAAAUAAUAUAAUGAUCAACAGUUAAUGAAAGACUUGUGCUUUGAGCUUCUAACAAAAUGUUAAUAUGUAGAGAAUCUUGUGAUUCAUGAUGCUUUGGUUCUCAACCAGGGUUAUCAAAUAAGCUAAAAGUAUCAGAAGAGGACAAAGAAAGUACGUAAAACAUGGAUAAAAGCAGAAACCGAGAAAAGAUAGCUUUGAUAUUUAAAGUGUUAGAUUAUGGCCUCUAUAUAAUGUCAUAUAUGCCAGAUCCCCCCCCAAAAUCACACCCUCAAAUUAUGAUCUUCAUUAUUCAAAAGAUGUUUGGCGUGUUGGUGGUACAGUGGUGAGCGUAGUUGCCUUCCAGAAGAUGGUUGGUGUAUAAUUACUAUAGAAUUUCUUGCUCUCUUGGGAGGUGGCUUAGUAGAAGGUUGAGUCAGGCAAGCUGGGGCUGUUUAUUCAGUGUGCUGUGCUGUGCUGUGCUGUGCUGUGCUGUGCUGUGCUGUGCUGUGCUGUGUCUGAAUGCCUGGGAGUUUGCGUUGUUAACCUUUCCAGGGUGCUAGAUCCCUUUGAGAUUAUGAUGGAAGCCAUGAAUCCUUUUCCCACACCUGUAUGCAAACAUGUGCCUGCCCAUUUACAGACCCAAAGAAGGACAUCCAUGUACCCCACGUUAAGAAGGCUGCCCUGGACUAAGCCCUCACUGUGACUCUGCUGUUCUUAAGCUUCCCAGGAAACACUGUUAUGUAAAAAGACGAGCCAUCCAGGUCAAAAAGAAGUCAUUGUGGUUGCUAGGUGGGGGUGCAAAGCCAAAGACAAAGGGUGGGGAAAAUACAUGACUAAUAAUAAAUAAAGAGCAUGGUUAAUACCAGAGUCUCCAAACUGAUAGCCCAGAAUCCCUCAACAUGUAGCCACGAGUAUUUGUAAAGUACGUUGUGAAUUCAGGUAGAGGGCCGAAGACUCAAUAUUAAGCAGUUGGGCAGAGUUUUCAUACAUAUAUUUGUCUCUGCCUUUUGCACAAUAUAAAACUAUGAAAUCUCUUUUCAUUUUUCUAUUGUGCACGCUACCACAUUAGGUAGGAAUCAAAAUCAUCUCAACUCCAGAAGUAUAAUUCAUAACAAUUAUAACAAAGCAGAAAAAUGAUUCUACAUUAGCAGAAGAAAUGUAGUAGGAAUAGAUUUAAAAUAGCAUGGUUGAGUACAAAAGAAACAUCGUUUUUUAAAAAAUGGCAGCCUUUAUCACUCAUCAGCUAAACUUAAAGUCAAUGCUGUGAGGCUGUUGCGGGAAAAAAAUAGUCAUGAUUCUUGGGUGUAUUAAAAGGAGUAUGACAUAGAAGGGUAAGAAAACAAGACGUAGUGUGUUUGUCAGACUCAUCAUUGUGUCCUGUUUGAGUCACACUUAAAAAAAGAAUUUGGACAAUUGUGAAAAGCUGAUACACAAGCAACAGAAAUUACACGCCCUUCCAGGAAAAGAUAAGGCAACUGAGGAUUUUAUUCCACACAAGGCUGGAGGAUUUUUUGCUAAUGGCCUUUAAGUAGUAACAGUCUGGUUUAUCCUUAUAUUCCUAGGGCCUUCCGCUCUGCCUGGUGCACAGUACUUGAGAUGAUCGUUGUGUUUAGUGAUAAUGAGUAAGGUUCCUGUGAGAGACUUAGCAGGAGUAAGUAGGUUCAAAUAAAACCAGCGAUAGUGUCAUGACAGACGGUAUAUAAUACAUGAAUUUGCUGGGUGAUUAAUACAUAAGGAUGACUGUCUCACUUGUGAGGAUGAUAUAAUACUUCAGCAGCUAACUGGGGGAAGCUACAAAAUCUUGGUUUGAUACCUCUUUCAGGAUGAAAGCAGAUAAGUCUGCUGGGGUGGUGGAAACAUUCAUUCAUUCAUUCUACAAACCCUGAGGGCCUACUUGGCUAGGUGCUCACGGUCUGGUAGAGGAGACAAAGAUACAAAAACAGAGUCACAGUGUGUAAUGAGUGCCAUGGGAGCAUAAAAACAGCAUGCGCAGGGCUUGUGACACUCAACCGCCACCCCGCGCAGCUUCCAAUGGAGGCAAAGUCACAAUUGACCCCAAUAGACAGGCUUGACAGAGUUAGUUGGAUGGGAGGCAGGUGGGGCAGCCUGUCCAGAGGCGCAGACCUGUGUGUGUGGGGAAGGGGUGAUGGGAGAUGCAGACUCGGCAGUGCUUGUUAACAGAGGUGUGAAUGCCGCGCCUUGCUUGCCUGAAGAUUUCCACCCAGGAUCCUGACAAAAGUCAGAUGUGCACUUCAGAAAGGCCAGGCGGGCUGCAGUGAAGAGAAUGACUCGAGGGGGUGCGGGUGUGGGACAGGCCAUCGAGGCAAGGAGGCCAAAUGGAAAGCUUUGGUCAGGACACAGGUGGUGAUGGAUUCGGGGGAGAAAUGGGGGAGGGUGACGCAGGCAGAGUGGCCAGGGUUAUCAAGUGGCAUCAUUCACCACAAAAUGCAGUCCAAGAGGAAGCCCAGCUGUGAGGGGGGGACAGGUGGGGCCCAGGUGUGAGGGGGGAUAGGUGGCAUUCAGACAUGUCAGUACACAGAGUCAAUGGCAGAGACAGAGCCAGUGGGCAGUUGCACCAUGUGGAUAAGGACUUGAGUGAGACCUGUCUCCAAAGCAGGGGAUCACUCUUCUAAUUUUUUAUAUGGUGUUUUUCAUUCUAUUCUGACUCAUUUGUAAUAAAACCUCCUUUGUUUUUUAUCAUAUAUAUUUCAGGUGUCAACAUGCUGGUUUGAUAUAACAUGUACAAAGCAAAAUAAUAACUUACACUCCAGCUGUGAGUGUACCAUCUCACAGUUACCUUUUUGUGCAUGUGUGUUAAGCCCACCUAAAAUGCACUUAGAAAUAUUCAGUAUCUUCACUGUGGUCAUGCUGUACUGCAGAUCUCUAGAUGUAUUCGUCUGACAUCAUUCCAGCUUUAUACCCUUUGACCCACAUCUCCCCAUCCCCCCAACCACCUCUCUCUGUUUCUAUGGACUGUAUUUGACUAUUUUAGAUUCCACAUAUUACCUCUAAUCCUCAAAGCUCUAUUAGGGUUUUGUGUAUUUCCUUCCAGCAUUUUCCUACAUACACACAAUUUGCAGAAUCAGCAUAAUUCUGUAUAGGUACUUUAUUUAUUUAUUUAUUUUGAGAUGGAGUUUCGCUCUUGUUGCCCAAGCUGGAGUGCAGUGGCACAAUCUCGGCUCAAUGCAACCUCUGCCUCCUGGGUUCAAGCAAUUCUCCUGCCUCAGCCUCCCAAUUAGCUUGGAUUACAGGCACGCGCCACCACGCCCAGGUAGUUGUGUAUUUUUAGUACAGACGGGGUUUCACCCUAUUGGUCAGGCUGGUCUCGAACUCCUGACCUCAGGUGAUCCACCCACCUCGGCCUCCCAAGGUGCUGGGAUUACAGGUGUGAGCCACCACGCCCAGCCUGUAUAGACACUUUCCUCUUUUUUUUUUUUUUUUUUUGAGACGGAGCCUUGCUCUGUCACCCAGGCUGGAGUGCAGUGGCGCAGUCUCGGCUCACUGCAAACUCCACCUCCCGGGUUCAUGCCAUUCUCCUGCCUCAGCCUCCCAAGUAGCUAAGACUACAGGUGCCCGCCACCACGCCCGGCUAAUUUUUUGUAUUUUUAGUAGAGACGGGGUUUUACCAUGUUAGCCAGGAUGGUCUCGAUCUCCUGACCUCGUGAUCUGCCCGUCUCGGCCUCCCAAAGUGCUGGGAUUACAGGCUUGAGCCACCAUGCCCGGCCUGUAUAGACACUUUCUAUCCCACUUUUAAAACAGGCAUGUUCUCCCUAUGCUUUAAAAUGCCUUUAAAAUAUUUCUAAUGGUGCUAAUUCUCUAAUUUGGGAGUGUCUAAUUUGCUUCCAGUUUUUAAAAACUAUUUUUUAUUAUAGUAAUUAACCUUUUAAAUACAUGAAUCUUGGGCAUAUUUUUAAUGAUUUCCUUAGGAGAGAUUCCUUACAGUGAAUUUCUUGAGUAAAAGGAGGUUAACUGUAAGAUUCUUGAUAUACCUUGCUAAAUUGUUUUCUAGAAAGCUUGAACCAAGUUCUGCACAUUUUAGCAAAGUAUGAAAUGUCCUUCUCUCCAUAUCUUCAUCAGCAUUGAGUGUUCUCUCUUUUUUAUCUUUAGACAAAAAGGUUACAUUCUUUUUGGUUCAUCUACUCAGAAGCUAUUUAAUGAAUGUUCACUCCAUGUCAGGCAUGUGGCAUGUUUUCAUCUCUACCAGUAACGCUGAACUUUCUUCUUGUGUGCAUCAGCCUGUUGUUUUCUUUUGUAAAUGUUCUGUUCGUGUCCAUUAUCAACUUUUCUACUAGGGUGUGACUGUUUCUAUGAUAUAUUUAUAACGAUGUGUGUGUGUGUGUGUGUGUGUAUACGAUAUUUGGGGUAAAUACUUUUCCCAGCUUCUUUGACUUUUAAUUUUGCUUAUACUUUAUUGGAAAUACAGAACCUUUAUUUUAUUAUUAUUAUUAUACUUUAAGUUCUGGGAUACAUGGGCAGAACGUGCAGGUUUGUUACAUAGGUAUAAACGUGCCAUGGUGGUUUGCUGCACCCAUCAAACCACCAUCUACAUUAGGUAUUUCUCCUAAUGCUAUCCCUCCCAUAGUCCGCCACCCACCAACAGGCCCUGGUGUGUGAUGUUCUGCUCCCUGUGUCCAUGUGUUCUCAUGAGAACCUUUAUAUUUUAUGUAGUGGAGUAAGUUAUUUUAUCUUUUUUUUUUUCCUGUGUAACUUCUGUUACCUCAGGCUUAGGAAUUCCUUCCUACCCAGAAGUUAGAAAAUAUUCAUCUAUUUUUUUUUAAAGUUUCAUUUUUAACAUUAAACUCACCAAAUUAGAAGUAAGAUGUGGCCAGGCACAGUGGCUCACACCUGUAAUCUCAGUGCUUUGCGGGGGCUAAGGUGGAAAAAUCACUUGAGGCUAGGAGUUCAAGACAAGCCUGGGUAACACAGUGAGACCCCACCUCUACCAAAAAAUUUAAAAAUUAGGCAGGCAUGGUAGCAUGUGUCUGUAGUCCUAGCUGCUUGGGAGGCUGAGGUGGGAGGAUCACUUCAGCCCAGAAGCUUGAGGCUGUAGUUAGCUAUUAUCAUGCUAUUGCAUUCCAGCCUAGGCAACAGAGCAAGAACCCUGUGUCUUUAAAAAAAAAAAAAAAAAAAGUGUGAAACAAAGAUCCAAAUGGACUUUGUUUCACAAAGUAAAUCCCCCAUCAUGUUUUGAGUCAUGUAUCUUUCCCUAUUUAAUUUGUGGUGCUUCCUUUAUUUUAUAUUUCAAGACUUUUUGCUAUUAUAUCCAGCGGUAGGAGCCCAUGAACUUGUUGGAUAUUGGUAUGCACAGAAGAUGCGGUAAUACUUUUUUCCAAUAUUUUAUUAUGAAAAAUACACUGGCUAGAUUCUAUAAUUAAUAUUCUGUCACUUUACCAUCUAUUCACGUAAUAAUUCUUAAACUUCUCAAAUCAUUAUUUGAAUUUCAAAGUGGACUAUCAAAGACAUUUUCUCUAACCCUAUUUUUCUCUAAUUUGCAGUUUUGAUUUCCAGGAAGCCUUUAGCAAUUUAUAUUGUUAGUACAGUAAGAGAGUAAACAACACACUAAAAUACCAAGAGAAACUACUUUCCAAAACAUGUUUUAGUCGUUUAACUUUAUGAAUAUGGCUAGCAAGGGGGCUUCCUGGGGGACAGUGCUGGGGAAAGAGCAGGCCCUAGGAAUGGGCUUUGAAAGAAGACUUUUGCCACCGUCAGGUCACAUUUGCAAGAGGCCAUCGUCGUGGUCUGCCAGGGAACCCUUAGCAGAAAGGCUGCUUUGCCCAGGAUCUGGCUUGCCGCCCCAGACCAGCCCUACCGCUGUCUGGCAUUGAAUGUCCCUGGUCCGCAGUGAGUGGCCAGUUGCAUAGACCUUAGAUCAAGGAGCUUAGUCACCUCUUUCCAGCCUAAAUCAUGAGCACCCUAAAUUCCCAUGGGUUGUUGAGACCUAAUAGCAUCCUGGCUUAGAGAUGGGAUUGCAGCUGGGUCUGCACAGGAAACUGGCCUACUGUGUCUGCCUCUUGGUGCAGCAUACAACCAGCCACAUGGAAAAACCCAGCCUGCAAUAAAAGACUUGCUUUGGUCACCACCUGACAUUAGCUGUGGUUUAAUCUGUGUAAUGUUUUUCUUCCCCCCCAUCUAAGCCUCAAUUUCCUAUCCAUAAAAUAUGUUGGUUUUGGCCAGGCGUGGUGGCUCACGCCUGUAAUCCCAACACUUUGGGAGGCCAAGAUGGCCUGAUCGCCUGAGGUCAGAAGUUCAAGACCAGCCUGGGCAACAUGGCAAGACCCCCCCCCUCUACUAAAAAUACAAAAAACUAGCUGGGCGUCAUGGCACAUGCCUGUAAUCCCCGCUACUUGGGAGGCUGGGGCAGGAGGCAGGACAAUCGCUUGAACCCGACAGGCAGAGGUUGCAGUGAGCCGAGAUCGUGCCACUGCAACUCUAGACUGGGCCAUGAGCGAGACUCUUUCUCAAAAAAAAAAAAAAGUUGGUUUUAUUAGAUUACAGAGAAUACUUUCUCUAUCCAAAAUCUGUGAUUUUAAUCUAGAACACUGAAUGUAGGUCAGUAUCCACCCCAUUUUCAGAAAUCUGGGAAGAUCUUUUUUUGUUUUUCAGCUUCUCAGAAUAAAUACUUUCUAGGAUGUUACAAACAUGGAUGAAGUUCACCAGAACAGAUCCAGGGUUAACCUUUUAAAGUCAUUAGAUAUGGCUCCAGUAAAAGGCAUGAGAAGGCACCCGUGAGACCCUGCAGAGGAAGCCUCACUCCUGGGCAGCCUUACGGCUGACGAGCUACCUUACUGAGCAUAUUCCUGCCUCUACACCAGAGACUCACUCUGUGGUCCGGUGUCACCUCGAUUCUAAAUUCCCUGCUUCCUGGUGAAUGAUGCUAUCACACUUUAGAAACCUGGCCAAUAAAUGCUUUGAAAUUUAAGGAUAGCUAUCCUGAAAAAAUUUAAUAUAACCUAAAUUGAUAGUCUAAUGACAUCAGUAUUCAGAAGAGGCAUUCUAUUUCAGCAAGUGGUUUUCAGAAAAAAAAAAAAAAUAAAUAACCUGAGUUUUUCCCCUGCCACUCUCCCCUCUUGCUUUUAUGCUGCAAAAAGAGCUUGUGGCUUGCCUGACACACCGUGUUGUUCUCUGCCUUCGAAGAUCUAGCUCCCUCAGCCUCCCCACGUUGUCCACCUCUCCAAUACCAUUGCUCCACUGGGAAGCUGGCCCGGAGGUGCUCUACCACGUUCAUCUCUCGCAGCCCAGGGCUGUCUUUAACGUUACAGAGACACAGAUAUCAAAGUGUUGCAAUUUAUUUGGCUUUCAUUAAUUUGCCGGAAGCAAGGGAGGGUAGAUACAAAGUACUCCUCUAACCUGUUAUUUUCCUUGCUGUUAAAAUGUAAAGAAGACUGAUGUAAGAAUCUCUGCCUUCCACCAGUCAUAACCAUGGUAUGCACAGAGCUUAUGAAUCAUCUUCUAAAUUCACAGCUAGUUUUAAAAUUUAGCUUCCAGGCUAGAUCUGCAGGAAAUGAAUGUUUUAGAUAGAUCACGGGUGUUUUCCAGUAUGCAUUUUUAGUGCACUUACUUAACUGAGAGCCCUCUCAUAUGAAACUGGAAUGUCACCACCAUGUGAUAAAGCGUAGACUAGCUGUGACCUAAUACGUACUGAUCAUGACUAACGCAGAAGUCCAGGUCACUGCGGUUGUAUUUCCUGUGGCCUCAAUGUUCUGGGGUUAGGGUUAACAGGGAUAAUUCAUUUCUGUGUUCAAGUCUCUAAUUCUUCCAUCAUGUAAACUGUAAGUGGGAGCAGACUGGAUUCAGCAUUGCUACAAGAGAAAAACAACAAAUAGGAACACCACCAACACCAUGUGUUGGGAGCCCCAUGUGCCAGGCACUGUGCCAAAUACUCGAUAUUGAUUAUCUCUUUUAAUACACAAUCCUGUGUGGCAGAUCCUACUAUGAGACCCAUUUUACAGAUAGACAACUGAGGCUGGGGGAAGUUGGAAAUGGAGGAGCCAGGAUUCAAGUCACAGCAGUCUGGCUCCUGCGCCCAAGCUUUUAAUUUGUAUCCUAUUCACUUUUCAUAAAUAAAUGACUCGUGUUGGAGGUGUUUGUAUCCUUGGGGCCACUCAGUUUUAUUCAGCCAGCUUUCCUUGGUUGUGGUUUUAAUGUGUUAGGGAAGAAUGAAUGUAUUCCCCACAGCUGGGCAUCUUUGUGCUGGAUCACCUGGCCACAGCUCAUGAAUAGUGCAGAUUAUCACACCCCACCCCCAUGACUCCAGCAAAUGUGCUGUGGGUAUAGGAGAGUAUGUUCAAAAAAGGCAAUUAACAAAGCAACUGUCCCAACUACCAAGAAAAACAAAUGUGGCAUAACCCAUGAUAGAACCCUCUUUUUUCCUUAUUAGACAUGAAUAGAAGCUCAUUAAUGCCGUCCAGUAAGUUCAAGCCGCAUAACUUACAUACACUGUCAGGACCCAGAAAGAAACCUGUUGUCUUGUGAUGUUAUUGUUGCUUGGUUGACCUCAUCAUGUCUUGACAGGGCUCAAGACACCCUUCAUGAUCUGGUCUUACCUCUCAGGACUCCCCCCAUCCUUACCAUUGUUUGUUGAUCUCUGGUGCAGCCAAAUGAAGCCCAUCAUGCUUGUCCUCUGCCUGGAAGCUCUUCCUUCCCUCUUCCUGGCCAAUGGCUACUGUCCCUUCAGAGCACCUGUUCAGAUGAAACCUCCACCAGGCAGCCUCUGCUGACUCCUAAGGGCUGGGCUAGGUGCCCCUUGGGUGCUUCCACAGCCCUUUCUGCUUACCCAGUUGUACAUGUGUCAUACUGUGUUCUGUAAUUCCUCUUUUUGUCCAUCUUCCCUGGCUUGCAUUGACCCCUUAAAAGCCAUGAUUAGGGCCGGGCGCCGUGGCUCACGCCUGUAAUCUCAGCACUUUGGGAGGCCGAGGCAAGUGGAUCACAAGGUCAGAUCGAGACCAUCCUGGCUAACGUGGUGAAACCCCAUCUACUAAAAAUACUAAAAUUAGCUGGGUGUGGUGGCACACGCCUGUAGUCCCAGCUCCUCGGGAGGCUGGGGCAGGAGAAUUGCUUGAACCCGGGAGGCGGAGGUUGCAGUGAGCAGAGAUUGCGCCACUGCACUCCAACCUGGGCAACAGAGCGAGACUCCGUCUCAAAAUAAAACAAAACAAAAUCAUGAUGCCAUGAUCAGUGUUUACUUUUGGAUAAACACCCGGACACAUGAUAGAGAAUAAAUGUUUGAGAGAGAGAAAUGACCUACUGGGUAACACCAAAAACUAAUGUAUACCAUGUCUAGUGUUUACAGUUUACAAGAUGCUUUCACACACAUAACUUCAUUUGAUCCUCCCGGCAACUCUGCAAAAUAGAUUUCUGCAGCCCUGUUGUACUGACCAGGAAACAUCAGCCUGCCCUGAUGGCAGGGAUGUGGUUAGCAGGUGGAAAGCCAGGACUCAGGCUCAGGUCUUCGAACCCAGAUUUUAUGCCCUAUGUACCGCCAUGUGGAUAUUCUCAAGGCAACUCUCUGAAAUAUUUCCAGAAUCUUUCACAAAAGUCCUGUGUCGUCCUUGUCCUGGCCAACUAGACUCAGAGGGAGGACUGAUGGAUUUUCAUCUCCCUCUUCCCCUUCGUCUUUUCUUCUCAGCAUCUUCCUACCCUCCCCACCACCGCGCUUCUCCACCAAAAGUCUGAUGCUGGCAUGUAAUGGACCCUUUCCAAGUUUCAAGGUGUUGACAGUAAAUCUUUUGUAUUUAGACCGGGCCGGCUGCUUUCCUUUUCUUGUGGGUAGAACUCUGGAAAAGUGGAGGGGGGUGGGUGGGGCUUCAGGUAAAGUACGUCAGCAAAUUGGAUAAGUCGGAUCUUCGUUGUGUGAGUGGGUAAGAGAUGAACUGGGGGGAGGGGUGUGUGUUUGGGCAGUGAGCAAGCCGGCAAGAGAAUGUGAGUGGGCGGCCAGUUGGUUGGCAAGUGAGAGGCUGUGGAGAGGUUGCUGCUGGGACGGGCUGUGCAAUUAAACAGUUGAGCAGAUCUUAAUAGCAGACUGGGGCGGUGCUCUCCGCAGGCCUGCGGGGAGCAGGGAGCAGGGGAAGCAAGCGAGCUGGAAGCAUCUUCGGGCACAGAGCUAGAUACGAAUUUCAGAAGCACAUAACCUGAGGAAUAGAAUGCAACCAGAGGAGGGAGAAAUAGAGAUUCCAGGCAGCGUUUCCUAAACUUAAAAAGUUUUGAAUACCCAGUUUUGCCUUGUUCUGGGGACCUCUGGCAAUGUUGUUCAAGGGAGGAAUUUUUAAUUUCAUAGAAAAGUGAAUUUUACCACCACAAGAGAACAUGAGACCAAGGUCAUAAAUCCCUUUGUUUGGAGUGUCCGUUCUGAACUCCUUGUAUACUUUUAUUUGCAGGAAGAGGCUAUACCAGCAAGUAUUAUGGUUUUACUGGGUGGGGCGGCAAGGCCAGGAAGAGAUGGAGAUGCUGUUAAAGGUCCUUGCUCCAGAACAUUCAGAGAUCAGAGGAACUCAAGAGGUCAAAGUAGGCUGAUGUCAUUGUUCAUCCAUUUAUUCAGCAAAACUUUCUUGAACACCUACUGUGUGCCAGGCACUGGUUGGCAGUGAGGUGAAGACGAUAGUGAUGAAAACAAAGGCAUGGUCUCUGUCAUCAUGGAACCUAAGUAAACACAUACCAAAAAAAAUGGCCCAAGAAAAAUCAUGCCCUGAGGGGAAGGCACUCAGAUGAAAAGGACCUUCUUCCCAGUGGUCCCCUGAGGAGGUGAUUUCCAAGGUCUCAGCUAAGGGAUGAGCAGGAAUGUGUGGGUGCAGGGGGUAGGGGUGAGAGCUCUCGGCAUAGAGAGAGCAGCACAUUUCAAAGGCCCUGGAGUGGGGAAGGAGGUGGCAGGUGCAGCUGUGUGGUGGCUACUUCCACUUCUGGAGUGCAGUAGCAUGAUCUCGACUCACUGCAACCUCUGCCUCCCGGGUUCAAGCAAUUCUCCUGCCACAGUUUCCCAAGUAGCUGAGAUUAUAGGUGCAAGCCACCACGCCUCGCUGAUUAUUACAUUUUUAGUAGAGACGGGGUUUUACCAUGUUGGCCAGGCUGGUCUCGAACUCUGUCUCCUGGAACCUCUUGAUGAGCCCCUGUGAGGUUCCCCAGCCCAGGGCAUCCCCCCAGGUAUUCAGGAGAGACCCGUCCCCAAGAGACUGCCUGCUACUUCCUCUUCCUAUGAAUGUCACUGUGAGGGGAAUAAAUAAGGAUAGACCAGAAAAGCAAAUUGUAAGAAAUUUGAAACCAGUUGUCAGUUUUCAGGUGCCCAGGAGCAUGACAAUAUGCCCGAGGGACCGUAACAGGACUUGACAUGGAGCUGGGUCUAAAGCAGAUGACCUGGUGGCUGCAGCGUGUUCCACACAGGCGAGCACUGUGAGGCCAAAGGACUGGUGUUGAGCAGAAUGAAAAAGCACAGUGUUGGUUAAUCCUGAAAAGUGAAGCCUGCAAGAAAUGAACUUCGACCUUGGAGUGGGGGUGGGACAGGGGCUAGAAGGAAGAGAGGCUCGGAAGUGUGUUGUGUAAACGUGGUUCUGUUUUGUCUAAUCUUUUACUACCUGUAGGGACAGGUGGAUGCAGUGGAGCUGCUGGCAGGAAAGGUGGAGUUUUUUCAAGGUCACGAGUUAAGCAAUAGAGUAGAAUAUCUUUGCAGCUGCAAGAGGAGGUGCGAGCAGCUUGUUCACAAGGUAUAUUUUGCAGGAGUUUCCCCUUACAAGAUCUUAUUUGCUUGAGAGUAGCGUUAAGGAUUUCUGUGCCAACAGUUAGCUGGAUCUCUGGGGUUGAAUCGUUAUCACCAAUCUAUAGUUAAAAUAAGCAUUAAAAAAAAAAAGGAGUCUACUUUCAAAGUUUUCCCGAAGUGCCAGUCUGAAGCAGCUACCUUUAAAAGCUGUUCUUGAAUAAUAGGUUGCUAUAUCCUAGUCUGUAAUCUUGGACUAAUGUCUGAGGAAGGAAAAAAAAAAAAAGAAUAUUCUCUCUUUGUCCGAUUAAGAAGUGGAGGUAGACAGCGAUUCGACAUGUUGUAUGGGCGAGGCUGUGCUGAGCUUGCGUCUGGGACAAUGACCAGACAGAUGAAAGGAGAAGUGAGAGAUAUUUUUAGCACAUCAGGACUGCUUUGAAACAUUGAUUUUUUUUCCAUCUCCUCCCACCCCCCAUAAUUCCAGCAGGAAGAUUCAGUGGCAGGCACUUUAAUUCAGUGUAAAAACAUCUUCUAUAUUACACACUAAAAUAUUCAUGAGGAAAGGGAGUUGCUGAUUUUAAGGCGUAGCUUUAAAACCCACGUCUGUCGGCUUGAUGGUCAGUGUCCCGCCACACAGUCUGGAAGUGUGACGUGGCCAAGGAGGACCCCCAGAAGGAUCCUGUGUCUUCCGUGGGGACUACUCCUUUCCUCAGAGGAGCGGGUUCACAGGAAACUGGAGCAGAAGGAUGCCUUUAGCCCCACUCCUGUUGGUCCUCAGUCCCUUCUCCUUUGAUCAGGUGGUUCAAGCACGCCUUGAAGUUCCGGUGUUCAAACAACGUGACCUCUGCAAUUACGUUCUAAUACUUGUCGGUGCCCAACUUAAACCACUAGCAAUGUUAGUUAAAAACAUCAGGGAGGCCGGGCGCGUGGCUCAUGCCUGUAGUCCCAGCACUUUGGGAGGCCUAGGCGGGCAGAUCACUUGAGGUCAAGAGUUCGAGACCAGCCUGGCCAACAUGGUGAAACUCUGUCUCUACUGAAAAUACAAAAAAAGUUAGCCAGGUGUGGUGGCGGGUGCCUGUAAUCCCAGCUACUUGGGAGGCUGAGGCUGAGGCAGGAGAAUCACUUGAACCCGGGAGGCAGAGGUUGCAGUGAGCUGAGAUCGCGCCACUGCAGUCUAGCCUGGGUGACAGAGACAAAACACAAAACAAAACAAAACACCUCAGGAGGCUGUAAAUCAAGCACAACUGAAGCAAAGAUAAAAACGGGCAGUCUCAGAAUCACCUUUGAAGGUGGAAGGAAGGGCGUUUGUGUGUGACAAGAAGAGUGUACGUUCAUACAAGGGUUUUUACUCCUCCUCUGAAAAGUCCUGCUUGGUGGCUGGCCAGUUUGUCAUGCUUGGCUGCCCAAGCAAGUGGUGGCAGUCGGAGCACAGGAGAAAGCCGCAGGGGGUGAGGAAGAAGUGCUGGAGAGGGCGCUCCACCUUUCGGCUGCCCUGACCUGUCUCCAGCCCCAGGGCAUGUGGUUCUGGGCCGGGCACUGGCCCCCUCUCUGUGGACUGUACCAGGCAGCGGGUAGUGCACAAGCUCUGAGGUCAGGCCACCUGGGCCUAAACUCCAGCUCUGCUCCUUGCUAGCAGUGUGACUCUGGGCACGUUCAAGUUACUUCAUGCUUUGUGCCUCAGUUUCCUCAUCUGUGAAAUGGGGAUGGUAACAGGACCCUCAUCCCAGGACUGCUGUGUGGAUUGAAGUGCCUGCAACGGGAUUUGUCUUUUCUGGGAUCGCGGUGGAUGCUCUAUUCCAGGUGAGGGAGUCUCUUGCUUUCUCCUACCUCUUGCAGCCGCUUUGCCUCUGAGUGGCAAAUAGCAAGUGGCUGAAAAUCACAAUGAGCCCGUCAGAGAAUGGGGAUGGGCCACAAGGCCACAGUCGGAUGGGUUCUCCAUGCCCUCGACUAUGCAGCGGGGUCAGGGCAUCCCUUCCUCCUGGGGUGCCCACACCAUUCCCUUGGAAGUUUAGACAGCAGCCCUUGCCUCGCCAGACGCAGCAACCCCUCCCAGCUACACGUGGAAUCUGUGGCCCAGCCUCCCUCAGAUGACCCGCAUUGCCUGACAGAGACCAGGGGCCCUGAGGGGUGGCUGUCGCUGGCCUGGGACAGGGUCCCUGCAGGUUUUCAGGGUCCUCAGCAGCAUUCGCCAGCGUCGGGUCAGACUGAGUCAUGGGGCCCGAGCUCUCCACGAGUUGGUUCUCCAGUUGGUUCUCGUUGGGGGUAAUGCCCUUCAUCGAACCGCUUCAUCCCCAGCCUGUAUUGUCUCCGUCUCUUCGCAGUUGUCAGAGGGCUCGGCCGCCACCCUGAAACAGCCCAGAGCUCUCUGAAGAGCACGAGCUUUUACGCUUCUCUCCCCAAAUCAACUGACUUUUUCAUUGCUUCUGUGGAGGCUUUCUGUGGGAGAAAAGCGUGUUUAUGGGGCAAGCUCAGAGAGCUCCUGUCCCCGUGGUGGAAUUUUUUUAGUGGCUCUGCCCACGUGGUGGUGAGCGCCGGUGAGGAUGGGACGCAUUUUCUGCUAAAAUGGCUGUGCGAGGCUGCCACCUCGUGGCCAGCACAAGGCAGUGAGUGUGUCCCUUGCUGGAGCUUCUGGGUGAAAUAAACUCAUUUUAAAGGUCUUCAGCAAGGACCUCACUCCCUCACUCUCUCAGUGUGCAUAUCAUUCCAGCUCCAGGGCUUAAUGCGUCUGUUGUGGCAUCUCUCAAAUCUGUACUUUGCUAUCUCUUUGACUACAGAGUCACUACCUUCCGAUAAGCCCUUCUGCUGUCUCCAGACCGAUCCUUCUAAAGCGUAGAUGUCAUUGUCUUUCUCUCAUUAAAGCUCUUUCAUGGCUCCUCAUUUUCCAGGUUCCAGCUCAUGUCUCAGGAGGCCGCUAAGCCCACUCCUCUGCCCCAGCCUGUGUCUGCGCACGUCUCUUCUCCCUUCCUCCUGGUUUCCUCUGGCUGAUACCUGCUCACCUGAAAGUCAUCUCAGGUGCCACCUCCUCCAGGGAUUCCUCGCAUUAGAUUAGCUUCCUUCUUCCCCAUUCCUAGCUGACUUCCUUCAUUAUGCCUCAGAUCCUUUUUUUGGAAGAAAAAGAAAGAAAUGGAAGACAGACUGGCCAGCAGGGGGAGAGAGAGGGAGGGAGGGCAUAUCAGAGAAUUCAAUAUGCUGCGUUUUAACCAGAUACUUUUCUUCCUCUCCCACAAGGCAUCAGAGUAGAGACUGCCUUUCAUCUCUCUCCCCCUUGUGUAAUAGCACAGUGUCUGGCAGAUAACUGUUGCUUGCUAAUUAUUAGAAGGAAGAAAGGGAGGGAGAAUAAAAGCCAGCAUCACCAUGUGAUCUUCCUAAGUGCGACAGAUGUGAGAAAAGAACUACCUUAAGCUCCAGGGGCCCUAGAGGAACGGCGCUGCGUGCUAGUGCAGAUGGUAGCAAACGCUCUCACCUGGCUUGGCAACACUUCUUCACCUCUUCUUUCUACCACCACAGCGACUGUCUCCCUCCAGCCCAUCCUACUGCCAAAUUCAUCUUCUAUUAAGCAUAGCUUCAAUCACAUCAUUUCUUUAUCAAAACACUUCUACAGAGGAGUUCCAAAUGCUUUAGCCG
This 50581-nucleotide long non-coding RNA is filed under the name Homo sapiens (human). Its description in RNAcentral is "non-protein coding LINC-PINT:38". The record is from RNAcentral. Lineage: Eukaryota; Metazoa; Chordata; Mammalia; Primates; Hominidae.